CAUCCAUUUACACAUACUCCACUGAUUCAUGUAUAACACAUUAUGUAUAUAUAUAUGAGGAUCGGAUCGCAUCGCUAGGGUUCCCUUUAUUCUUUCUUUCCCAUCCCACAAGAGAGAAAGGAGGAUCGACCGAAUUCUACUAACACAGACAAGUUAGGAAGGAGGGAGCUUCUUCCUUCCCACAAGAAGGUAUUUCAAGUCAAGUCAACCCACCAACUAGACCAGACCAGGCAACAAAAGAAUAUCUCUACUUUUUUCUCUCUCUCUUUCUACAACCAUGACAGGCAAAGAGGGGAGGGGAGACGAGGGGACGGAGACCAAUAGACGGACGGCGCCACUAUUCAUCACCCAAAAAAAGCUUCCAAUUCAAUUCAGAUCAACAACAACAACAUAAGUCUUCCUUCUUCUUAUCUUCUUUCCUUGCAUUCAGAUUCUCUUCCCUUCUUCCAGCCAGUCCGUUGCCCCUGCCUGAUACACACAUAGAGCAGCAAACCACUCAUCGGGUUCACUGCAGUUUGAUCAAUUACUAGUGUUUGGGAUGCAAUGCACAGAUAUAAAUCAAUGUUACAACCCAACGUGCACGCUCAUCGAUAUAUCGAUAUAUAAACAAACAACAGAUGGCAAAUCACAACACGGUUUAUUUAACAAGGGAGCUACAUGCCUACAGCAUCUCACAUUAAAAUGACUCCAGCGCAGCAGAGAAUGUGCACCAGACAAACAACAGGUGCUUGGGAUGCAAUGCACAUAUAUAAUAUGAAUGUUGCAACCCAAUAUAUAUGCGCCCUCGCCAAUAUAUAAACAAACAACAGAUGCAUGGCAAAUCACAACACGCUUGUUUUAGGGAGCUACAUGCCUACUACAUCUCACAUUAAAAUGAUUUCAUGGCAGCAGGCAAAAAUGAAUGCAAGUAUAGCAGGGGCAAUGUGCAGCAAACAAACAACAGGUGGUGGCAAAGCGCAGAGCGUGUUAAAAAGGCCUCCAUCACAACAUGGAAAAUACGUUGGCCUGUGAGGAGGUGAAACCGCUGGAUAUGAUGCUAUACUAUAUAGGUGUCAUGUCACUUCUCCUUCAUAGUCACAUCAAAAGUUCCAAAAAGAAAAAAAAACAGGAUUUACAUUCUAAACUAUACUUUCAUUAUAAACAGUUCCAAACAGCCUGGCUCUAGUAAGGGAAUGGAUUGAAAGAAAUUAACAAGAGAAUAAAUCAAGCUAGGACACAACACAGCAAAGCGUAAACUAAAAACUGACGACAGUCAACAUAUACCCAUCUCUCGACAAUCUCAUUCAACUUCGCCCAAACUUCUUAUUCCAGAAAAACAGAUAUUAUCCUAAUUCACUUGAAUGCGUAGAUGGCACUUCUUUGUGUCCAGGAUUUAAAAAUCAAAUUUAGUUAAAUGCAUAGAUGACACUUGUUUGUGUCCAAGAUGUAAAAGCCCUACCGUGUCCAGGAUGUAAAAUUCAAAUUCAGUUAAAUGCAUAGAUGGCACUUAUUUGUGUUCGGGAUGUAAAAACCCUAUUGUGCCGCAAGACCAGAUAUAACAGGUUGGUAUUUUUCUUUGUUCUACAUCAAAACUAUAAAAUAGUCAACUAGGAAAUAUAGCAUUCCAUACAACUACCAUUAGAUGCAGUGCAAGUGUGUAACUACUGACAAAUCUUGUUCCAUGAGCGCAACCCUUUCCUUUCAAACAAGCCUAUACAACAAUGAAUACAUACAGAGCAAAAUGAAUGAAUCUACACUAUAAAAUAUGUUUAUAUACAUCCGUAUGUGGUAGUCCAUUUAAAAUAUCUAAAAAGACAAAUAUUUAGGAACGGAUGGAGUAAAACCUACAUUGAGAUAUUGAACAUUUGAACAACAAUGGAAAACCAUACAGGGGCGAACUAAAACCGCCUCUCUCUAGCCGUUUUACUUGUACAUACACGUGGCAUUGGCUAACCAAGACAAAUAAAUGAAAACCUCAGCUGCAGGCUGAUCGCUUAAAUAAGCGAACAUUUUUCUACACUCAGCUCCAAGUCAAGAAUCACCACUCUACAGCUCAUCAAUGUAUUGCAAGAUAGAGAAAUAAAUAUGUAAUAAAUUACCUCCUUUUCCCCUCUUCCUUGCAAGCGCCUCAGUCGAGAUCAUCAUCAUACGAGCGGCCGCUCGCAUUGGCAUUGGCAUUGGCAUCGUUGUUGUAGUCACCAGAUGGUGAACCAGCAGCGUCCUGGUCCUGGUCGUUGCUCUCCGCCUGCUGCGCGCCAAAAUCGGCCCCGAAAGGCCACGGCAACGUAACCCCGAACCUCCUCUCCAUGACCCUAGGCGAAGCAGGCCACCACCAGGAGGAGACUCGGGGUCAUCAGUAGUAGGCACCUCAAUCUCAUGGCGACAGACAGGGCAGGAGCUGCGGAUGUGGAGCCAGGGGAGGAUGCAGUCCUCGUGGAAGACGUGCUUGCAGGGGAGCUGCUUGGCCUUGGCGACGGCGCCGAGCAGCAAGUCGUCCAUGCAGGUGGUGCACACGUCGACGGCCGCCCGUGCGGGAGCCUGACGCGUGGCGCGCGCCAGACGGAGGCGAGGGCAGGUCGGGUCCGCCCGACCAAUCACCACCAGUUCCGCCAGACCGGGGCCAGGGGGCGCCAGGAGAUCUUCCUGGGGAUCCGCAGGCGCGUCAGUUGGCCCCCUGCCACCAAAUCUCGCGGGAUCAGCGCCCGCAAGUGCAGGCGAAUCUGCUUCGUGUUCCGCACCAGGCGUUUCCUGUUGCUCCUGCUGCUGCAUAAAAUCAUGACGAUUUGGAGUGCUGUUUUUUUUUCACUACUGUCUCCGUUAGGAUUAGGAUUAUUAAACAAAUGAUCAUUAGCAAUAUGUUCACCCCCUUGAUCAGUAGGAUUUAAUAAAUCUGGUGAAAGCAAAAGGAUCUCAUCACGAAGACGAGCACCGGCAUUAGGAUGGAGUGUAGAGAAAGGAAAAACGUUUUCAUUAAACACAACAUCCCUUGAAAUAUAAACACGCCCGGUGGAAAUAUCAAGGCAUUUGAAGCCUUUGUGAAGGUUGCUAUACCUGAGGAAAGCACACUGCUUGGAGCGAAAUUGAAGCUUGUGAUUGUUGUAAGGUCGGAGGUUGGGCCAGCAGGCACACCCAAAAAUUCUCAAGAUAGAAUAGUUGGGUUUUUCAUGGAAAAGCCGUUCAAGAGGUGUUUCAAAGUUGAUCACUUUGCUAGGCAUCCGAUUUAUCAAGUAGGUUGCGGCAAUGAAAGCUUCAUCCCAAAACUUCAGGGGCAUAGAAGCUUGAGCAAGAAGAGACAAACCUACUUCAACAAUAUGACGAUGUUUCCUCUCAGCUGAACCAUUCUGUUGGUGCGCAUGAGGGCAGGAGACAUGGUGAGAUAUACCUAUUUUGGUAAAAAAGGAGUUGAGUUUAACAUACUCCCCUCCCCAAUCUGUUUGGAGAGCAAAAAUUUUGCGAUCAAAUUGUCGCUCUACAAGUUUCUGAAAAUCAUGAAACUUUUGAAACACCUCGGACUUGUGUUUGAUAAGAUAAAUCCAUGUAAAUUUACUGAAAUCAUCUAUGAAACACACAUAAUAUUGCUUUCUUCCUAACACACACAGCAGCCUGAUACAAACACACACAACAGCAAACCACUCAUCAGGUUCACUUCAAUUUGAUCAAUUACUAGUGUUCGGGAUGCAAUGCACAGGUAUAAAUCAAUGUUGCAACCCAAUGUGCGCCAUCGUCAAUAUAUAAACAAUAGAUGGCAAAGCGCUUCACGGUUGUUUCGGGAAGAUACAGGCCUACUACAUCUCACAUUAUAACGACUCCAUCGCAGCAGCAGGGAAAAUGAAUGCAGAUAUAGCAGGGGCAAUGUGCACCAGCCAAACAACAGGUAGCAAAGCGCAGAGCAUAACCGCAAGUUAAAAAGGCCUGCGAGGAGGUGAAACUACUGGGGAUGAUGCUGUGCACAUUUUAUAGUACCGAAUUGGUUAAGUUCACAGCUUCUCCUUCAUGGUCAUAUACCUUCCUACCUCCGUGCCAGACAAAAAAGGAAUAGGAUUCACAUUCUAACCUACACUUUACCGAAAAAGGGUUUCACCCCGCUUUGUAUUUCAAAGCACCAACACCGAUACAGAGCAAACGCUGGGGCGAGCAGCACAACUAACCUACACUUUCACCAUCAAAGGUUCCGAACAGCAUGACCCUAGUGAGGGAACGAACUAAAGAAACUUACAAGAGAAUUAAUCCAGCUAGCUAGGACACAAGACCGCAAAGUGCAAACCAAAAAUUGGGAAUAGUCCUCUAAAAUAAGUUUUACUGCUGAAUGCAUAGAUACUUGUUUGUGUCCAGGCUGCUAGUAUAAACCCUAGCACAUGACAAGACCAAACAAAACUGCUGGAUAUAUUUUCCUUUGUUUCACAUCGAAUAGGAAUCCCGUACACCUAUCAUAGAUGCAGUGUACGUAAAUGUGUAACUACUGACAGCAGCCCAGCCCUAAUUAUAUUUUGAACAACCCUUUCCAUGCAUACAGCUCUGUCUAGCUGAAUAUAUAGAACAUGCACGCCAGCUUUGACCAAACAAUCAACUCAUUGAAAGGUAAAUACUAAAACCAAACCUAAAUUGAGAUCACCCUACGUACUCCCUCCGUUCCGAUUUACUUGUCGUGGUUUUAGUUCAAAUUUGAACUAAAACCACGACGAGUAAAUCAGAACGGAGGGAGUACGUCUUACACGGAAGUAACCGUAAGUAAUAAUGAUGAAAUAAGGGACGGUGCAUUAGUCGACAUCAUUGUUGUUGUGGUCGCUGCUCUCCGCCUGCUGGGCGCCAGAAAAAGCCCAUGCCAGCGAGAUCCUGAACCUCCUCUCCAUGACCCUAGGCCAAGGGCCACCACCAGCACCAGCACCAGGAGACUCAGCUGGGUCAUCAGUGGGCACCUCGAUCUCAUGGCGACAGACAGGGUAGGAGCUGCGGAUGUGGAGCCAGGGGAGGAUGCAGUCCUCGUGGAAGACGUGCUUGCAGGGGAGCUGCUUGGCCUUGGCGGCGGCGCGGAGCAGGAAGUCGUCCAUGCAGACAGGGCACACAUCGACGGCCGCCAUCAUGUCAAUGUCAGGGGAGACGGCCUUGGCCCCGAAAGGCCACGGCAACGUGACCCCGAACCUCCUCUCCAUCACUCUGGGACAAAGAUGCGGGCGCCGCAGUAGCACGGCCGUGGGGUGGAGAAAGGGGAUCGAGAGAGUCUCAUAUUUUAUUUUAUUUUAUUUUAUUUUCUUUGGCAGGAAACAAAAAGGCAACCCUUCCUCCCCUAAAUCAAAUCCCGACCAUCCAUUACUUCUGCAUCCAACGCAUGAAAUUCCUUCACUCAUAGUACAACACAAUAUUUCACAUUCCAACUUUUCUUUUUGCAUGAUUACUAGAGACUAUGGCACCACCUGAGGGCUGAGGCUGAGGCUAGGCUGGCACGUGCGCACCUAUCUUGUCUAGGCGAGUGAAUUGCAAAAAACAUCGACAUUGAAGGCUAGGUUUGCAGAAACCACAAGUCUACUGUUUUAUGCCCAAAAACACUAUUUCCCAGGCUAUUUUCUACAGUUCUAUUACCUUGACCAUAGAAACUCCAUACAGCAAAUUUUAGCUCAUUUUAUUUAACCAAUCUCCCUCAAUAUGUUUCCCAAAUUUAAGUUCAGUGGAGAACAUUUUGAAGGAAGUACCAUUUUUAUUUAUUCAAAUGGUAUGAAAUUUUUACAGUUCCUUCAUAUGCCAAACUUAUUAUCCUACAGCAAAUUUCAGCACAAUCAAAUCAUCUAUGUAAGCCCAGCUUCAAAUUCUAUUUUCUGUCCAGAUUGGCACAUUGCAAAGCAAGUGCUAUCUAGACACCUCCUAUUGCCCUCAAACUUUUUGUGCCAUCUUCCAUAUCCAAAUCAUUGCCACAUUCCAAUAUUCAGCUCCAUUUGCCUACUAAAUCUUCCUCGGCAAAUUUUCAAAGUUUCUAUCCUGAGAGAAGCUUUGUGAAUGAAGUACAAGCUAGGAUUAUCCAAAUGGUAUAAAAAAUUACAGUGCUUUCUUAUGCCCAAAUGACCAUACUCCACAAAAUUUCAGCUCAAUCCAUGUACUCAUUUGAGCCCAGCUUCAACAUCCAUAUUUCUGCCCGAUGUGGUACUUUGCAAAUCAAGUGCCAUCUAGGCUCCUCCAGUUGAGCUGAAAAAUUGCCAAGACAGUCUCCCUAGUAGAUGAACAUCCUCAGCCAAAACUCAGGCACAUUAUCCAUGUGCAUUUCCCGUACCGCUAAUCAAACACUUGGCUGCUAAUUCAUGUUUGAGCAUAGUUCGGUCUCCUCGUGAGAUUCUUUGGUUGUAAUUUUCUCCCUGGCACCUACCUGGGGAGUUCCCAACCCACUAGACAUGUCUAGGCCGCCCAGAACGCAUGGCAACGCCACGGUCACGCGGCGACCACGCGGCGGGCAUGCGAGUUUACACGCUCUGGAGUUGGGGCCCUCGGCCACCGUCCAAACCUCGACGUAUCGCCACCAAACCAUGUAUUUCUGAUUAAAUAUAUACUUAUGUAACUAUAAAUGAUUUUUAGAAAAAAAUAAAGAGCAAACUAUAAGGUACCUGCAGUUCAAAUUUGACCCGUUUCCUACUAAAUUGGAGGAAAUUUGUCUUUUUCACGAGAGGUGGAUCAAAACUUUUGACACCUAACCAUUUGGUCAAUUCUACAUUAAAUAUAGCCUAAUAUUUUAGAAAAAUGAUUAGGUACAAUUUUGCAACAAAUAUAUGAUAGGUCCUUCACAAAAAAACUCAUUCUGGGCACUCUGAAAAUGGAAAAUGUAUUUUUCAUCCAAAGAAAAUGAAAACUUACUUAGGCAACAUUGUUUGCCAUUCCAAGAUUCACCCUUGUGCACGAUAUGGGAUCAUUUGAACAAACUCUUUCAUGAAUGUCGCCAUAAGAUUGAUCAUUUUGUCUUGAAAGCCAUAAACCUUCACACAUGAUAGCUCAUUUCUGAGAACACUUUUUAAAAAUAAUUACCGGAUUACAAGUUUAUUAUUUUUCCUGGUAUCUUGGCCACGUAUAAUGACACAAUGCGAAGGUUUUCCAAUUUUUUUUUAAUUUUUCAUGCCCGUUUCAAAAUGCGGUCAAAACGGCGGGCAUGACCGUUCCUCGCUAGUGGUUGAAUCUUGGAAACUUUUGGUGUUUCUCUAAUGAAAUAGAUACUUUUGUACCUAGAAAUAAUUUUUGGAAAAAAUCAUGAGCAAACUAUGAGGCAGCUGCACUUCAAAUUUGACCCGCUUCCUUCUAAAUCGACAGAAAUUUGUCUUUUUCACAAGAGGUGGAUCAAAGUUUCUGACACCCGACCAUUUGGUCAAUUGUACAUUUAAUAUGUCCUAAUACUUUAGAAAAAUGAUUUGGUCCAAUUUUGCAACAAAUAUAUGGUAAGUCCUUCAUAAAAAAUCAUUUUGGCACUCGAAAACUGGAAAAUGAUUUUUUUCGUCCCAAUAAAAUAAAAACUUCCUUAGGCAACAUUGUUUGCCAUUCCAAGAUGCACCCUUGUGCACAAUAUGAGAUCAUUUUAACAAACUAUGUCAUGAAUGCUACCAGAACAUUGAUCAUUUGGCUUGAAAGCCAUUGAUCUUCACACGUGAUAGCUGAUUUCUGAGAACACUUUUUUAAAAUAAUUACCGUAUUACAAGUUUAUUAUUUUCCUGGUAUCUUGGCCACAUAUAAUGACAUAAUGCGAAGGUUUUCCAAUUAUUUUAUUUUAUUUUUAUUUUUCAUACUCGUUUCAAAAUGUGGUCAAAACAGCAGGCAUGACCGUUCCUAGCUAGUGGUUGAAUCUUGGAAAACUUUUGGUGUUUCUCUAAUGAAAUAGAUACUUUUGUACCUAGAAAUAAUUUUUGGAAAAAAUCAUGAGAAAACAAUGAGGCAGCUGCAGUUCAAAUUUGACCCGCUUCCUACUGAAUCGACAGAAAUUUGUCUUUUUCACGAGAGGUGGAUCAAAGCUUCUGACACCCAACCAUUUGGUCAAUUAUACAUUAAAUAUGUCCUAAUACUUUAAAAAAUGAUUUGGUCCAAUUUUGCAACAAAUAUAUGAUAGGUCCUUCAUAAAAAACUCAUUUUUGGCACUCAAAAAAUGGAAAAUGAUUUUUUCGUACAAAUAAAAUGAAAACUUCCUUAGGCAACAUUGUUUGCCAUUCCAAGAUGCACCUUUAUGCACAAUAUGAGAUCAUUUUAACAAACUAUGCCAUGAAUACUACCAUAACAUUGAUCAUUUUACUUGAAAGCCAUUCAUUUUCACAUGUGAUAGCUUGUUUCUGAGAUCACUUUUUUAAAAUAAUUACCGUAUUACAAGUUUAUUAUUUUUCCUGGUAUCUUGGCCAUGUAUAAUGACACAAUGCGAAGGUUUUCCAUUUUUUAUUUUUUUAUUUUUUCAUGCCCAUUUCAAAAUGCGGUCAAAACGGCGGGCAUGACCGUUCCUCGCUAGUGGUUGAAUCUUGGAAACUUUUGGUGUUUCUCUAAUUAAAUAGAUGCUUAUGUACCUAGAAAUGAUUUUUGGGAAAAAUAAAAAGCAAACUAUAAGGUAGCUGUAGUUCAAAUUUGACCCGCUUCCUCCUGAAUCGGCGGAAAUUUGUCUUUUUCACGAGAGGUGGAUAAAAUCUUUUGACACCCAACCUUUUGGUCAAUUGUACAUUAAAUAUGGCCUAAUAUUUUAGAAAAUUGAUUUGAUCCCAUUUUGCAACAAAUAUUAUGUAGGUCCUUCACAAAAAAACUCAUUUUGGACACUCAAAAAAUGGAAAAUGAAUUUUUUGUCCAAAAAAUGAAAACUUUCUUAGGCAACAUUGUUUGUCAUUCCAGGAUGCACCCUUGUGAAAAGUAUGAUAUAUUUGAACAAAUUAUGCCAUUCCAGAAUGCACCCUUGUGCAAAAAAUACAAGAGAAACAAAUAGAAGAACACAAUUACAUAAGCUUUGUUCUCAUUGGUUGAAAUGUUUGUGCCAUGGAUCGAUGACAUGUCAUCCAUCCAUCCAUCCCAUUUAUCUAAAGAAAAAAAGAGAAAAAAAGAAACCACCCCCCCCCAAAACCCUAUCCCCUCCCACUCCAUCGUCGCCGCCCCCUUCUCCCCACAUCCAAUCUCGCCACCGGACUCACUCUCCCCCCCAUCCUCUCUCGCUCGCGCACGCUUAAGCCGCUCGCCGCCACCACGUCCGUCGCCGCUGCCGCGCUCAGGGCGCAGUGGCCUCCUCCCCGCUCGCCGCCCUCCUCGCCCCCUCAAGGNNNNNNNNNNNNNNNNNNNNNNNNNNNNNNNNNNNNNNNNNNNNNNNNNNNNNNNNNNNNNNNNNNNNNNNNNNNNNNNNNNNNNNNNNNNNNNNNNNNNNNNNNNNNNNNNNNNNNNNNNNNNNNNNNNNNNNNNNNNNNNNNNNNNNNNNNNNNNNNNNNNNNNNNNNNNNNNNNNNNNNNNNNNNNNNNNNNNNNNNNNNNNNNNNNNNNNNNNNNNNNNNNNNNNNNNNNNNNNNNNNNNNNNNNNNNNNNNNNNNNNNNNNNNNNNNNNNNNNNNNNNNNNNNNNNNNNNNNNNNNNNNNNNNNNNNNNNNNNNNNNNNNNNNNNNNNNNNNNNNNNNNNNNNNAUUCUAGCCGGCCCUCGAUAUAUCUACCUAGCUGCGCUCCGUUCUCUACCCGUGUGAUCCAAGGGUCCAACGGAAGAAGAAGCCCGCCGCCGCCCCCGGCUCCCGCCACCCACCACUCUCCUCCCCACCUCAGAUCCUCUCCCCUCUCCCCACUCCCAGAUCCAACUGGCCUGGUGGUCGUCGUCCGGGAUGGCAUGCUCAUCCCACGACCCGAGACGGAGGCCGUCUCGGGGUCCCUCUGCCGCGUCUUCACCGUCUUCCCCUUCGUCGUCACCAAUCACGGCGCCGGCUCUAUCAUCUUCGGCCGCGGGUACCAGGAGUAUCGCCUCGGGGAGUACUCGACCUGGCUGCAUUGCCGGGUUGAGGACGCCGACAACUGGGCCAAGAUCCGCAGCUGCCUCCGCGACGGUGGGGUCUGCCAGAGGUUCGGGGCCAGGAGGGAGUCGCUGCAGCAGUUCGUCAACAACAACCUCUCCCCGAUUCAGGUCGAUUUCUUCACAUGUUCUUCGCCCUUAAGUUUAAUCCUUGUGAUUUUGGUGGUUAGUGCGGAUUUGUUAUGAGCACAUUUAGUUGGAAAAUAAAUUCCCUGCUGCUAUUGCUAGUUGGAUUUUGGGGAUACGAAUCGAUUGGUCUCCAGGGAUGCGGAAAUUUCAUCUCUACUAAAGAAUUGUGGUAUGAUGGUUAAGUCUAACGAGUGGCAUUGCUUGUCGAGUUGGUACAGAUUGUGUGUGGGUAUUCCGCAGGACCGAUAGAAGAAUCGUCGGAUCCCAUCUCCUCCAGGACCACCACAUGUGACACUUCAAUUCGUAUGAAUAAUUGCUCUGCAAUUUUCAUGCUACAUUGUCAAUUAGUGAUUUAAUUUCUGCACCACUGUCUUCCAGUGUGCUGUAUUGCUGUUGUCUCCCCUCUUUGCUAUUUUAAUUGGCUGUCUAUUUGUCUAUUAUGUGCUAAAGUGCCAAUGGAUACAACUAGCUUGCCUUUUGUGGCUGCAUGGCAAUGUAUUAUAUUGAGAUAGGGGUCUGGUGAAGAUUAAUGCAAGAUUCGAGCGGUGGUAGAGACUAGUGCGAGCUAUUUAACUUGACUUAUUCAGUUUGAUCAUGGCAUGUUUCUGUACAAAUUGUUUCCACUUGAUUUUAGCAAAUUUUGAGGAUGACCAUGACAUUGCUUUAUUGUACUCUAUUUUGAUGAAAGAAUGGCCUUGUGAUAGAAUUUGCAUAAACUUAACUGAACUGUGGACUUAGUGCUGUGAAACUUCUCACAUUGCAUUUUUUUUCCUUUCUGACUAUCAGUUUUUCGCCCCGACUAUCAUAAUUCUCCCUUGUUGCGUGUCGGAAUACCUUGUUCAUGUCAAUUAUAGUAUCCACUCAUGAAAUUGAAACCUUCAACAUUAUUAUAUUGGAGACUACUGGUCCGUGUUGAUCUACUGGUCCUGUGUGUAUGUGUGUGUGUCGAGAAAAGUUGUGGUUUGUGCUGCUCCUUUGUAACGUGAUGAAACAAGCACCUGUAGUGUCUGAGUGAGUGAGUGUUUGUCUGUUGCCAACUUACACUUUCAAAACCGCGUUAAAUAACAAGUUUGUUCGAGCAAUUUUUUUAGUCUCCUCUUUGUUCUUCUGGGUUUUUUAUGAUCUUGUUUGGUAAUUCUGGUGGUACAUGUGUAGUAAGUAAAUAGUGCUAUUGCUUAACUCAAAAUUUCAUUUACAAAGAAUAAAAAGGAUGAGCAUUUCUCCAGCCAAUGGCUAAAGUAGUUGCUGUUGUGAUCGGCUGGACCUAUGCAUUUCAUUAGAACUCAGCUAUAGCUUGGACUAUGCUUCUGAACAGAAUGAAACAUUUCUCUUUCUUUUAUCUGUCUUCAAUUCUUUGGAUCGAACGGCUCUCUUGAACACAUGUAAGUUAGUGUGGUGAUGGUUAAACAACUACAGUAGAUCGGCGCUUUUGCAUUUUUGCAUUUCUCAACCUUGGAUAUUUUGCCAAAAUAAACCCUUAGAUUCGUUGCCAUUCCUUUGAUAAUAAUUCGUUGUGGCCGUUAAGUAUUUUUAGCAGUAAUAAACCUGUCUCUUUCAUUCGUGUGGCAGUUUACUGUUUACAAUAUCUUGGAUACAACCAGGGGAUACACUGCCAGUAGAUAGAGCGGACAACAAGUUCACUUGAUCUAGCGAACAUAUGAGCCACCUUAUUAGCACUAUGACUUACAUGAACAAGAGAAAUGGAAGUAAAACUGGACAAUGAAGAUUUAAUAUCAGCAACAAUUUUCAGUGUUUUCCUCAACUUGUUUUUGCUGCCACUUGAUAUAUACUUAGCUUGUACUUGAAGCUGUGGUUUAAUGAUGGUGAUUUUGUUCUACUUGGAUGCAUUGGUACCCCCAUCAUCGAGCACACGGAUGCAACAGUGGCAAGAAGAUCAUGUCCGUGUGCAUCACUAAGCACACCAUGGCAAUCAUCCACCUCCGCACAGAUGCUAACUCAAUCCAGAUCAUCGUCGACGCUAUCAUCGACAGGUAUCUCUCUCGGUUCCCUUUAUUCUCUCCUGCAUUUGUGAUGAUAGUUUGUGAGCUCGGACUAGUAAAUGUUAGAUCUUGCGUGUUGAAUGGAUGGCCGUCGUACUAGAAUGAUAUUGUUGUUUAGGCACAAUGUGUUGAAUUGAAGUUGCAGGACCUGCACUCGUGCCAUGCAUAUUCUUAUUGUGUUUGUUGUCUUGUAUGAAUACCUCAUUUUAACUAGCUCGUCAACAAAAAGCACGGUACUAGCUGAAAUAUGUUUAUCAUUCUAUAAAGAAUUGCUCUUUACUCCUUUUUUUUGAAUGGAAUGUUCAUAAUAUAUUGGCUCCGGUUUUUCUAAUUCUUCCCGGCUGAUUCAUGUAACAGGGCGACCAGUGAGUUAGCCCAGUCCUGACUAUGGUUGUCCAGUGAGUCUGGCAUUUGAUCGCUAUCAAGGAGCUCCAUGCUGAAGAAGAAAACACUUCUAGAGCUUGUAACUAUGAUUCCCAUACUUGUAGAGCUUGUAUCAGCUUGUAAAGCCUGUAAAGUACUGUAUAUGUUACAGCUUGUAUUACUUGUCAUUUGUAGAGCUUGUACUGAAUCUAGCUAUUGUUAUUAGAAGUAUUAUGUGUUUUUUCCGCUUGGAAAUUUAAAUAAUGGUUAUUUCUUUUACUAUCAAAUUGAAAUAUGAAGAAUCUGAGCCUAAUAGCUGGGACCCACUUAUCAGAACCUGACAAGUGGGACCCGUUUGACUAGUGGACCCAUUUUAUAAAAAAGAAAACUAAAACUGUGUUGGUACAAAAAGGCCAUGGCCCAGAAAAUAAAAAGGCCGAAUUGAUGGGCUAGGCCCAUGUAGCUAGCGAAAAUUGACAGGAAAAAAUAUAUAUGGGCUAAAUUAAUGGGCUUGGUCCAUAUAGACACCAAAUCGGACCGGGCUGAUUCUUAUCAACGACCUUUUCAUUUGGUCGCGAUUUUGCCAUGUCAGCUAGCCAAGUUGGAUCCGAUGUGGCCUAGGCAGACAACUAGCGACCAAAACAGAAGGUCGUAGGAUCAACGACCUUUUGUUUUGGUCGUUGCCUUCAAUGACCAUAUCACGCAAAAUGUCGUUAAUUUCCAUUAAAGACGGAUGGCUUUUGACCAUCUGUUUUUGGUCACAAAAAGGUCGCAAAUGAAAAAUAAUGACCAUUUAGCGACCAAUAAUGAUGGUCACAAGUUGACAUAUUUCUUGUAGUGACAAUGUGACACAGGAGAAGAUCAAGCUACAAGCCAGUUAUGAGAGGUUGGUUGAAGAUUUCAAUGCCCUUUUGGAUGCCUAGGAGCUGAGGGCCCAGAUAGAAAGGAAACCUGAUGAGAGCAAGCUACAGGAGAAGUAUGACAUGGUUAAGAACAUGGUUGUGCUCAAGUCAGUGUCAUUAGGAACAUGAAGUUGACGCUUGCUGAAGAGAAGAGGAAGUUACAUGCCCACACUAAUGAGCUUGAAAAGGUUGUGGAGCAGACCAAGGUGAAGUUGAAUGCUAUCAAUUCCAUCUUAGAUGAAUGAGCCAUUGGGCAGUAUCAUGUAAUAUGCUACUUAUUAGUACUAUCAUCAUGCUUAUGUAAUGAUCUCCCAAAUAUGCUACUUAUUACUGAAGGAAAUAUGCCCUAGAGGCAAUAAUAAAGUUAUUAUUUAUUUCCUUAUUUCAUGAUAAAUGUUUAUUAUUCAUGCUAGAAUUGUAUUAACCGGAAACAUAAUACUUGUGUGAAUACAUAGACAAACAGAGUGUCACUAGUAUGCCUCUACUUGACUAGCUCGUUGAUCAAAGAUGGUUAUGUUUCCUAGCCAUUGACAUGAGUUGUCAUUUGAUUAACGGGAUCACAUCAUUAGGAGAAUGAUGUGAUUGACUUGACCCAUUCCGUUAUCUUAGCACUCGAUCGUUUAGUAUUCUGCUAUUGCUUUCUUCGUGACUUAUACAUGUUCCUAUGACUAUGAGAUUAUGCAACUCCCGUUUACCGGAGGAAAGCUUUGUGUGCUACCAAACGUCACAACGUAACUGGGUGAUUAUAAAGGUGCUCUACAGGUGUCUCCAAAGGUACUUGUUGGGUUGGCGUAUUUCAAGAUUAGGAUUUGUCACUCCGAUUGUCGGAGAGGUAUCUCUGGGCCCAGUCGGUAAUGCACAUCACUAUAAGCCUUGAAAGCAUUGCAACUAAUGAGUUAGUUGCGGCAUGAUGUAUUACGGAACGAGUAAAGAGACUUGCCGGUAACGAGAUUGAACUAGGUAUUGAGAUACCGACGAUCGAAUCUCGGGCAAGUAACAUACCGAUGACAAAGGGAACAACAUAUGUUGUUAUGCGGUCUGACCGAUAAAGAUCUUCGUAGAAUAUUGAUACGUCCAUUUUGCAUCAUGCUUUUAUAUCGAUAUUUAUUGCAUUAUGGUUUGUUACUUCACAUUAUAUCACAAUACUUAUGGCCAUUCUCUCUUAUUUUACAAGGUUUACAUAAGGAGGGAGAAUGCCGGCAGCUACAAUUCUGGGCUGGAAAAGGAGCAAAUAUUAGAGACCUAUUCUGCACAACUCCAAAAGUCUUGAAACUCCACAGAAUAUCUUAUAAUAAAUAAUAAAAAUCCUCGCCAAAGAUGAAGACUAGUGGGGCCACACCCUAUCCACGAGGGAGGCCCCCCCUCCCUAGGGAGCGCCCCCUACCUCGUGGGCCCCCUGGUGGCUCUCCGACGCCCAUCUUCUUCUAUAUGAAGUCUUUCAUCGAGAAAAAAAUAGGAGGCAACCUUUCGGGACGAGACUCCGCUGCCACGAGGCGGAACCUUGGUGGAACCAAUCUAGGGCUCCGGCAGAGCUGUUCUGCCGGGGACACUUCCCUCUGGGAGGGGGAAAUCAUCGCCAUCGUCAUGACCAACGCUCCUCUCAUCAGGUGAGGGCAAUCUCCAUCAACAUCUUCACCAGCACCAUCUCCUCUCAAAACCCUAGUUCAUCUCUUGUAUCCAAUUCUUGUCUCCAAGUCCGGGAUUGGUGCUAGUAGGUUGCUAGUAGUGUUGAUUACUCCUUGUAGUUGAUGCUAGUUGGUUUAUUUGGUGGAAGAUCAUAUGUUCAGAUCUUUUAUGCAUAUUAUUACCCCUCUGAUUAUGAACAUGAAUAUGCUUUGUGAGUAGUUACAUUUGUUCCUGAGGACACGGGAGAAGUCUUGCUAUUAGUAGUCAUGUGAAUUUGGUAUUCGUUCGAUAUUUUGAUGAGAUGUAUGUUGUCUAGCCUCUAGUGGUGUUAUGUGAACGUUGACUACAUAACACUUCACCAUUAUUUGGGCCAAGAGGAAGGCAUUGGGAAGUAAUAAGUAGAUGAUGGGUUGCUAGAGUGACAGAAGCUUAAAACCUAGUUUAUGUGUUGCUUCGUAAGGGGCUGAUUUGGAUCCAUAUGUUUCAUGCUAUGGUUAAGUUUACCUUAAUACUUUUGGUGUAGUUGCGGAUGCUUGCAAUAGAGGUUAAUCAUAAGUGGGAUGCUUGCUCAAGUAAGAACAGCACCCAAGCACCGGUCCACCCACAUAUCAAAUUAUCAAAGUACCGAACGCGAAUCAUAUGAACGUGAUGAAAACUAGCUUGACGAUAUUCCCAUGUGUCCUCGGGAGCGCUUUUCCUAUUAUAAGAGUUUGUCCAGGCUUGUCCUUUGCUACAAAAAGGAUUGGGCCACCUUGCUGCACUUUAUUUACUUUUGUUACUUGUUGCUCGUUACAAAUUAUCUUAUCACAAAACUAUCGGUUACCACUUAUUUCAGUACUUGCGGAGAAUACCUUGCUGAAAACCGCUUAUCAUUUCCUUCUGCUCCUCGUUGGGUUCGACACUCUUACUUAUCGAAAGGACUACAAUAGAUCCCCUAUACUUGUGGGUCAUCGAGACUCUUUUCUGGCGCUGUUGCCGGGGAGUGAAGCGCCUUUGGUAGGUGGAAUUUGGUAAGGAAAAAUUUAUAUAGUGUGCUGAAAUUUACUGUCACUUGUUACUAUGGAAAGUAAUCCUCUGAGGGGCUUUUUCGGGGUAUCUUCACCCAGACCAGUAGAGCAAAGAGUUGCUCCUCAACCUACUGAACCUAUUGAAAAUGAAAUUCCUUUUGAAUUUCCUUCGGGUAUGAUAGAAAAACUGCUAGCUAAUCCUUUUGCAGGAGAUGGAACAAAGCAUCCUGAUGACCACUUAAUAUAUGUGGAUGAAGUUUGUGGAUUACUUAAGCUUGCACGUAUACCCGAUGAUGUUGCUAAGAAUAAGGUCUUCCCUUUAUCUUUGAAGUGAGACGCAUUGACAUGGUAUAGGCUAUGUGAUGAUACGAGAUCAUGGAACUAUAGAAGAUUGAAAUUGGAAUUUCAUCAAAAGUAUUACCCUAUGCAUCUUGUUCAUUGUGAUCGCAAUUAUAUAUAUAAUUUUUGGCCUCGUGAAGGAGAAAGCAUCGCUCAAGCUUGGGGGAGGCUUAAAUCAAUGUUAUAUUCAUGCCCCAAUCAUGAGCUCCCAAGAGAAACAAUUAUUCAAAAAAAUUAUGCUCGGCUUUCUGAAAAUAAUCGCAGCAUGGUCGAUACUUCUUGUGCUGGCUCUUUUAUGAUGAAGACUAUUGGAUUUAAAUGGGAUUUAUUGGAUAGAAUUAAACGCAACUCUGAAGAUUGGGAUCUCGACAAAGGUAAGGAAUCAGGUAUGACACGUAAGUUUGAUUGUGUUAAAUCUUUUAUGGAUACCGAUAUUUUCUGUAAGUUUAGCACUAAAUAUGGGCUUGACUCUGAGAUAGUAGCUUCUUUCUGUGAAUCUUUUGCUACUUAUGUUGAUCUACCUAAGGAGAAGUGGUUUAAAUAUCAUCCUCCCAUAGAAGUAAAAGUAGCUGCACCAAUUGAAGUUGAAGAAAAGACUGUCACUUAUAAUGAUCCUAUUGUUCCUACUUCUUAUGUUGAGAAACCACCUUUCCCUGUUAGAAUAAAGGAUCAUGCUAAAGCUUCAACUGUGGUUCGUAAAAGCAAUAUUAGAACUUAUACACCUCCUGAGCAAGUUAAAGUAGAACCUAAUAUUGCUAUUGUUAACGAUCUCUUGUCUAAUAAUAUUGAUGGGCAUGUUAUUCAGUUCUGCGGUGAAACUGCUAGAAUUGCUAAACCUUGUGCUAAAGAUAAACAUAGACCUGUGGUACGCAUGCCUGUUAUUUCUGUUAAAAUAGGAGAUCAUUGUUAUCAUGGCUUAUGUGAUAUGGGUGCUAGUGCUAGUGUUAUACCUUAUGACUUGUAUAAAGAAUUUAAGCAUGAAAUUGCACCUGCUGAGUUAGAAGAUAUUGAUGUCACAAUUAAACUUGCCAAUAGGGAUACUAUUUCAGCAAUGGGAAUUGUUAGAGAUGUUGAAGUCUUGUGUGGGAAAACUAAAUAUCCUGCUGAUUUUAUUGUUCUCAGUUCCCCACAAGAUAGCUUCUGUCCCAUUAUAUUUGGUAGACCCUUCUUGAACACUGUUAAUGCUAGGAUAGAUUGCGAAAAGAAUGUUGUUACUAUUGGCUUGGAUGAUAUGGUUCAUGAGUUUAAUUUCUCUAAAUUUAGUAAACAACACCGUGAAGAAUAAUUGCCUAGUAAGGAUGAAAUUAUUGGUCUUGCUUCUAUUGUCGUAUCUCCUAGUGAUCCUUUAGAACAUUAUUUGCUAGACCAUGAAAACGAUAUGUUUAUGAAUGAAAGAAGGGAAAUAGAUGAAAUAUUCUUUAAAUAGGAACCUAUUCUGAAACACAAUUUUCCUGUUGAAAUCCUAGGGGAUCCUCCUCUACCCAAGGGUGAUCCCGUGUUUGAGCUUAAACCGUUGCCCGAUAAUCUUAAAUAUGCUUAUCUUGAUGAAAAGAAGAUAUAUCCUGUUAUUAUUAGUGCUAACCUUUCAGAGCAUGAAGAAGAAAGAUUAUUGAAAACUUUGAAGAAGCACCGUGCUGCUAUUGGAUAUACUCUUGAUGAUCUUAAGGGAAUUAGUCCCACUCUAUGUCAACAUAAAAUAAAUUUGGAGGUGGACGCCAAACCGGUUUGUGAUCCUCAAAGACGUUUGAAUCCUAAAAUGAAAGAAGUGGUAAGAAAAGAAAUACUAAAGCUUCUGGAGGCAGGUAUAACUUAUCAUGUUGUUGAUAGUCAGUGGGUAAGUCCUGUCCAUUGUAUCCCUAAGAAGGGAGGUAUUAUUGUUGUUCCUAAUGAUAAAGAUGAAUUGAUUCCACAAAGAAUUAUUACAGGCUAUAGGAUGGUAAUUGAUUUCCGCAAAUUAAAUAAGGCUACUAAGAAAGAUCAUUACCCCUUACCUUUUAUAGAUAAAAUGCUAGAAAGAUUACGCAAACAUACACAUUAUUGCUUCCUAGAUAGUUAUUCUGGUUUCUCUCAAAUACCUGUGUCGGCUAAAGAUCAAUCAAAGACUACUUUUACAUGCCCUUUUGGUACUUUUGCUUAUAGACGUAUGCCUUUUGGUUUUUGUAAUGCACCUGCUACCUUUCAAAGAUGCAUGAUGGCUAUAUUCUCUGACUUUUGUGAAAAGAUUUGUGAGGUUUUCAUGGACGAUUUUUCCAUCUAUGGAUCCUCUUUUGAUGAUUGCUUGAGCAAUCUUGAUCAAGGUUUGCAGAGAUGUGAAGAAACUAAUCUUAUCUUGAAUUGGGAAAAGUGCCACUUUAUGGUUAAUGAAGGUAUUGUCUUGGGGCAUAAAGUUUCUGAAAGAGCUAUUGAAGUUGAUAAAGCCAAGGUUGAUGCUAUUGAAAAGAUGCCAUGUCCCAAGGACAUCAAAGGUAUAAGAAGUUUCCUUGGUCAUGCCGGAUUUUAUAGGAGGUUCAUUAAGGACUUCUCAAAAGUUUCUCGGCCUCUGACUAAUUUAUUACAAAAAGAUAUACCAUUUGUCUUUCAUGAUGAUUGUGUAGAAGCAUUUGAAAUACUUAAGAAAGCAUUGAUCUCUGCACCUAUUGUUCAGCCACCUGAUUGGAAUUUACCCUUUGAAAUUAUGUGUGAUGCUAGUAAUUAUGUUGUAGGUGUUGUUCUAGGGCAAAGAGUUGAUAAGAAAUUAAAUGUUAUCCAUUAUGCUAGUAAAACUCUAUACAAUGCUCAAAGAAAUACAACACGAAGUGGGUAGACAAUGGCGCUCCCACCCACCCACCCUCCGGCGACUCUCUCCGGUGAUCUCCCCGUUCCUCCGGUAACUUUUGGAUCUUCUCCGUGCAUUGGAUUUGGAUUUCCCUCCUCUCUCUUUGGAUCCCAUUCUUUAUGGGUUCAGAUGGUGGUGCUACUCUGGAUCUGGAUUUUUCUCGUGGUGUGGCUUUUGCCGAUAAGGUUUUUAGAUCUUCUGGUCUUUCGAUCCAUACUUUGGAGGGAUCCCGUCCUUUUGUCCUGGUGGUCUCUUUCAGUUGGCAUGAUUUCCCGCUUGAUGAAGAUUCUGUGGCUGCGGCACUUGAGGCAGCUCUAGGGGGUUCAGCAAUUGAUCUUAUGGUGACAUAUAUCAAGGAUAAGGUUUUCUCAUUUGUGGUGUCUUGCAAGGAGAUUGGUUUUCAUAUUUUUGAUUCAUGCUCUUAUGCUUGUCCUCAGUUUAAAUGUUAUUUUCAUCUCUGGGGUAAUGGUGGGCCAAAUUGGUGGCGUGAGUUUUUGAUCUGGAAGAAGGAGUGUGAUGCUGAGUGGAUUCUUGUUAGUCCCUCUAAGCGGCGUGCUACUCUUGGUAUGUUGGCUAUGCAUAAGCCCCCUGUCAAGUCUGUGAUCAAAUCUGCUAAUUCUACUCGUAAAAGGCUAUCUUUCGCCACGUUCCAGAAUUAUGAUGUGUGCAAAGGGUAUCGCUAUCCGGCUACUCAAAAUUGUCUUGAGUUAGCAUCUUUGUCUGGUUAUAAUCUUCCCCCCAAGGAACGAGUUGUCAUUCACCCCCCGCCGCCGGUGGAGCUUCAGUGGACGGUUGCCUCGCCAUCGAUCACCUUUGGUACGGUCGCUCCUAUCCGAUCGCUUUCCCCGGAACCACUAGCUCCAUCACCGGCGCGUUCUUCGGGCGGGAUUGCUAAUGUUUCGAAUGAUGCCAUGAUGGGCCCCUCCGCCAUGUUGGGUUCUUCGGACUCGGUUGUCACUGGACCUUCGCCCACCUGUCUUCCCAGGCCAAGUUUUUCUCCGUUGAGUGGCGGCCCAAUUUCUGUGGAGCCCAGUUCUUCUCCUUCUUCUCCAGUUGGGCCUUUUAGCCCUUCCACGUUGGUGAUCCCGUCCACGUAGGAGGCUCUGGACGCUUUCGAGACCAUGGUCAAUGACAUGGUGGACCAAGUGCUUACGUGUUCUCGUUGCUCUUUGGGGGGCCACCUUCUGUCAGCUGCCCCUCCACCAUUGGAUGUUUGGCAUGUGGAGAUCCUGCUCAUUCAAGAAAAGACUGUGAGUUUAUUGCGAUUGAAAAAGGUUUAUGUUGGAAACGGAAGCGUCCCGCUAUCUCGGAUAGACCGGUCUCUCCUUGCGUCGGGAAGCACGUGCUGCCGCCAUCUCUGCAGGCUAGUCCUAUCACAUCACCAUUAACCAGCCCGCAGUCUUGUGCUUCGCACACCCCAUCUGCUCCGCCUCCUCCGACGCCACCGCUCCCUUCCUCGCCACCGCCCAUGGCCAACUUCGCCCUGGAUCCGCAGCGUUAUGUGCCGGUGGGCCAUCACAUCAUUGACGGAGGUGUUCAUCACGUUCCUCGGACUUUCGUUACGCCCCCAUCGCCCGUUGUUCGUUCGCAUGAGAGCUUCAUGAUUGCUGAGAUUAUGCCGGCUCCACCUUUGCAUCAGAUGGGUCAGGUACGUGAGCAGGUGGUUGAGCUUAUCAACCACAUGGGUUUUCAUGUUCGUUCUGCUCAGCCAUGGAUUUCUGGAGUGGGUUUGUUUGAGGUCAGAGAUGCUGGCGAGCGUUUUGCUUUGAUUCAACUACCUCCUCAAGAUCUUGGUCAGGAUAGAUUUGUUCGUUUUAUGAAGCAUGACCAUGGCGAGGGUUUUCGUGGGGUUCAAGGUUUUCGUGAUGGAUGUCUGAUGUUCUUAGGUGUCCCCCUGGAUCUCCGUAAUACUGAGAAUCUCAGGGCUGCUGUUAAUACCUUUGGAAAGUUCCACCAUUGGAUUAGUGACGAUCCAUAUCUUGUCAGAUCUAUUGUGUUUGCCUCCUUCCCUGAGGAUAUCCUGGUUCCUAGGGACGUGGUGUUUUCUGAUUAUGCUGCCUGGGGUGGUGCUAAAGUUUCUUGGACAGCGCCGUGUUACAUCCUAGGAGCUAAUUUUGCUGAGCGAAUGCCGCAAGAUGAAGAUCCCAUGCCUAUUGACGGCAAUCCUCACCCCCUGCCUGGUCACUUAAUACAUGAAGAUAAUCUCUUUGCUCUUCCGCCUUAUCCAGCUCUUGGGUGGAACGACAUGCCGCCUCCCCCGCCUCCCAUGCAUAAUCAGGGCGGUGGCUGGGGCUGGCAUGACAAUGAGCAGGAUGCCCAGGAGGAUGCAGUGCAAGUUGAGCCCGUUCCUGAUUAGGAGUCUAUGGUCAUUAACCAGCAGGAUUUCUCGGGCUCUAUUGGCUAGUCGGAUAGUCAAGUUCAGGCUGAUCCUCCCUUACAUGAUGUGGCGAUUGUGCAAGAUCCUCCAGCUGUAGUUGUGCAAGUUCCUGUUGAUAAUGGAAAUGUUGCUUUGGCUGCCCAGCCUGACGUUGCACCAGUGGAACCAGUUCUCGUUGAGGGUGGUCUUCAGAUUGGUAUUCAGCCUGCUAUGGAAGUGGAUGAAAAUGUCAUUCAGUUAGGUGAGCCACCCGUUGAUCCUGAUGCAUUGGCUAUAGUGCCGUACCAGCCACCUGUGUUUCCACAGCAAGAUCUUGUUGUUGGACGAGUUCAUGUUGUUUAUGGCCCGCCUUUGCCUCCUGAGAUGGCCUGGAGGCGUACUUUCGAUACUCUUUUGGGGCGCUGCUCUUCUCUUCAGGUUCCAAAGCCAGUCCUACAGUCUUCUUUUGGGUCACUGCUCCUUUCCAAGAGAUCGUGGUCCCUGGCUUUAGAGAAGGUCCAUUGGGUGUCAGAUUUUACCACUGAUGAUUCGGCUAGCAUGGUCGCCCCUUUGUCUACUCUCCCACCUUCCAGGGGACUUGCUCGGGCUCUGUUUCCUGACAGCCAGAUGGAGUUGGAGCACGACCCAGGCCUGCAGUUUGCGACUGCCCCUGAUGAGCAGUUCUCUUUUUCUGCUCCUUCUAUGAAGAAGAAGAAGGCCUCCAAGCGUGGUCGUCCUCCAGUCGUGGACUCUGAACUGCGCCGCUGCACCCGUAGCUCUGCAAGACGGGAUGGUUUCAAGCCUGUGCUUCAAGCCUUGCCUAUGACUGAACCUAAGAAGAAGAAGCCCCGUUCCAUGCCUCUGAUCGAUGAUGAUUCUGCCCAUAGCAUGCCCUCAGUGCCACCUCCAACACCUCUUUGUCAUAUUCAGCAAAUUGGAGCGGAACUGGGGAUCUUUGCUGAAAAGCUCACUGUGGAUGCGCUUAUGGCGGAUCCUUCUUCUGCCAAGGACAAAUCUUCUCAUGAAUAGCUCGGGCUGUGCAAGCGGGGUGUGGUCGACCCAUAACUGGACUAGUUAUCGUAGGAUUUAUCUAAAUACUUUGUCUCUGGGACCUGUAUGCUUUCAUUGUCUUUGCAAACUUCUGUUGUUUGGCUUUGCUGCAUGUCUGAAAUGCUCUUUGUGCUGCCUGCUAUGUGGGCAUGCUGUUAAAGUUGUAAACGCUAUGUUCCAUGGAUAUUCGGUCUACUAGAAGUUGGCGUGUUAUGUGUUGGAAUGUUCGGGGCCUAAAUUCUGAUGACCGUCAGCAUGCUGUUCGUAACAAGGUGGAUGAAAGUCAGGCUUCUGUUAUCUGUCUGCGGGAAACGAAAAUGGAGUGUAUUGACUCCAGAACCGUCAGAAAAUUUUGCCCUCGUCGUUUUGAUUCUUUUGUUUAUAGCCCUUCUGUUGGGGCUUCGGGCGGCAUUGUUGUGUUGUGGAACUCCUCUGUCCUUACAGGGAGAUUAAUUGAGGUCAAGCAGUUUGGCGUUGUUGUGCACUUUACUUCCAAACACAACAAUGAGCAAUGGACGUUGGUUAAUGUUUAUGGGCCAUGUCGUGGCCAGGCCAGGGAUGAUUUUGUGGACUGGCUAUAUAAUCUCUCCAUCCCUGACUCUGAAAAUUGGCUUGUUUUGGGAGACUUUAAUUUUAUUAGAUCCACUGAGAACAGAAAUCUCCCUGGUGGCGAUGCUAAUGAUAUCUUCAUUUUUAAUGAGAUUAUUGGGCACCUUGGCUUGCUUGAGUUACCUAUUAAGGGGAGAUCUUUCACUUGGUCCAAUAUGCAGGAUAAUCCUCUACUAGAGCAGCUCGAUUGGUUUUUCACUUCCUCAAACUGGAUCUCUUGUUACCCCUCCACCCAGGUGUUGCCCCUGGCCAGGACUGCUUCAGAUCAUGUGCCUUGUGUGGUGGCCAUCAACACUUCCAUCCCUAACUGUAAUAUCUUUCAUUUUGAAAAUUACUGGGUGGAGCUGCAGGGUUUUAUGGACUAUUUGUCUGCUUCAUGGGCUACUGCUUCCAGCAAAACCAACAUCUCGGGCAAGAUUGCUGACAAAUUUAAAACCUUGAGGAGGGAUCUUAAGAGUUGGCACAUGAAUGUUUCCAAAAUGAAAAUAUUAAUUGCUAAAUGUAAUAGGGUGGUUCUCAUUUUGGAUUGCUUGGAGGAAUUGAGGCCACUUUAUAGACAUGAGUUCAACUUUCAUAAUCUGGUCAAGUUGCACUUGGAGCAUCUGCUGCACCUUCAAUUUCUGUAUUGGAAGAAGAGGUGCACUAUAAGAUCUAUUAAAGUGGAAGAGGAGAACACUAAAUUCUUUCAUGCUAUGGCUUCUGAAAGAUUUAGGCAUAACUCCAUUGCUUCUCUGCGGUUGGAUGAUGGUACAAUUGUGUCUGAUCAUGAGCAAAUGGCUGUUGCUCUCUGGCAAAACUUCAAAAAUAGGAUGGGAACUAGUCAUGGUAUUGAAAUGUCUUUUGAUCUUUCCUCAAUUUUACACAGAGUUUGGGGCCUUGACUCCCUCAUUAAGAUGUUCUCCAAGGAGGAGAUGGAUAAUACUGUUAAGAGCAUGCCCAUUGAUAAGUCUCCUGGGCCAGAUGGCUUUAAUGGACUCUUUUUUAAAAAGUGUUGGCCUAUAAUUAGUAAGGAUUUCUGUGAGUUGGCUUCUGCUUUUUAUGAGGGGUCUGUAAAUCUGGAGAACAUCAAUUAUUCUUAUAUCACCCUGGUCCCUAAGAAGAGAUCUCCUUAGUCUGUUAAUGAUUUUAGGCCUAUCUCUCUUUCUGGUAUGGGGGUGAAAUUCCUUUCUAAGAUGGCUGCUAACAGGCUGCAGCUAGAUAUCAUAAGAUGUUUGCAUAAAAACCAAUAUGGUUUUAUCAAGUCCAGAACCAUUCAGGACUGUGUUGCUUGGACCUUGGAAUAUUUGCACCAGUGCCAUCAGUCAAAGAAGCCUAUUGUCAUCCUCAAGCUGGAUUUUGAGAAAGCUUUUGACUCUAUUGAACAUGAGGCCAUUUUCCAAAUUUUGAGGCACAAGGGUUUUAAUGAUAAGUGGAUUUCCUGGGUUAAACAGUUUCUGGCUUCUGGAACCUCUUCUGUCCUGCUGAAUGGAGUUCCUGGAAAACAAUUUGCUUGCAAAAGGGGGUUAGGCAGGGUGACCCUCUUUCCCCACUUCUGUUUGCCAUUGCUGCAGAUCUGUUGCAAUCAAUAGUCAAUGAUAUGCACCAUAAAGGUCUUCUUCAGCUUCCUAUUCCUUUCCAUGAUAAGGAAUAUCCAAUUAUCCAGUAUGCUGAUGACACCCUCAUUAUUAUGCCUGCUGAGGAAUCUCAGUUGCUCUCAUUGAAGAAAAUGCUCUUCCUUUUUUCUAAGUCCGCUGGAUUGCAUGUUAACUAUCACAAGUCAUCCCUACUUCUAUUAAUGUGGAUUCAGUGGAGAUUGCUAGACUUGCUGGUGUUUUUGGUUGUGUGGUUGGCACCCUACCUUUUACUUAUCUUGGCCUUCCUGUGGGAAUUACAAAACCCAAGAUCUUGGACUUAAUGCCUCUGGUUGAUAGUAUGGAAAGGAAGCUCUCUGUUAGCUCCUCUUUCCUUGCUCAUGGAGGAAGACUGCAGUACCUGAUAUCUGCCCUUUCUUCUGUGCCAAUUUUCUUCCUGUGUAGUCUGGACUUGCCUCCUGGUAUUUUAAAGCGGCUAGAGAGAAUUCAGAGGCAGUGUCUUUGGAGGAAGUAUGGUCACGAUUCUGGUCAGUCACUAGCAGCUUGGGGUUUGGUUUGUAGACCAGAGAACAAAGGUGGCUUGGGUAUUUUGAAUCUGAAGUUGCAGAAUGAGGCUCUGCUCCUUAAACAUGCUAGCAAAUUCUACAAUAAAGUUGAUGUGCCCUGGGUUCAACUCAUCUGGAAUACUUACUACCAUGGUAGGGUUCCUCAUGCCACCAUCAUUUGUGGUUCUUUCUGGUGGAGGGAUAUAUGCAAGUUAAUGGAUAAAUUCAGGAUGGUCAAUGCAGUGCAUGUUAAUAAGGGUGACACUGUCCUCUUUUGGUCUGAUUCUUGGACAUUGGGGGACACUAAUAUUCCUCUUGAGCAAAGGUUUGCUAGGCUUUUUUCGUUUGCUAUUGAUCCCCUUAUCUCUGCUCCGGAGGUUUUUGAAUCGACUGAGCUCACCUCUUUAUUCCAUUUACCCCUUUCUGAGAGAGCUUUUGGAGAGCUGCGAUCUUUGCAAAACCUUCUUUUGCUUUCUGACCAUAAUCCUCAGCUCAAUGACACAUGCACUACAGGAAUCAGCUAUUUUGCCGUCUGCCACGGCGGACGGCAAAGGCAUGAACGGUGGACGGCAAAAGGCUCCGGCAAAGUAGGCUACGGUAAACAGCUACUUUGUUGUCUGCUUCCUGGCGGCUGACGGCAAAGGCCCUUUGCCGUCUGCGGCGGACGGCAAUAAUUGCGCUGUCAGUCCGUUAAGUGGCUAACGGCAGGCCUUUGCCGUCCGCCGCUGACGGCAAAAUUUCUAGUGUCUUUGCCGUCCGCCGUAUGAUGUCAUCUACACGUCACUACAUGGCAGGUUCUUUGCUGUUCGCCACUGAUGGCAAAGUCUUUGCCGUCUGCCACUGUAGGCAAACUGACCAAAUGGGUCAGCUCCCAGGAAGCACAGCUGGAUGCCACGUGUCUUCUUUGCCGUCCGCGGCAGACGGCAAAGAGCCCGUUGCCGUCGGUGGCAGACGGCAAAGAGCCUGCCAUGUUGGCUCUUUUAUCUGUUUUUUAUUAAAUCCAACAAUUUUCAUCACAAAUAUAUAUGACAUAUAUAGAUAUAUUUCAAAAGGCCAUUACAGAGCAAACAUAUAAGAUAUCCACCACAUAACUUCAUCAUCCAACCAUAUAUAUUACAUGCAUAGUUCCAUCAUACAUAACAAGUUCAACAUAGAGGCAUCCAACCAUAUAUAUUACAAUAGUUUCAUCCAACGAUACAUGCAUAGUUCAACGAUACAAAAGAAACAGAGAAAGGGAUAAGGAGCACUCCAUCUAUGCAAGCUUUCGUCAAGUGAAUGAAAUCUGCAAAAUGAAAAAUAAGAAAGUUAGAACAAGAAGAAGAGUAGAACAAGAAGAAGACUAGAACAAGAAGAGUAGAACAAGAAGAAGACUAGAACAAGAAGAGUAUGUCAUUUAUGAGCUAACUUACGUGAAAUGGAUCAUAUAUGAGCUAACUAAGUUGAAAUGGGUUGUUUAUGAGCUAGCUAAGGUGAAAUGGAUCAUUUAUGAGCUAACUUAGUUGAAAUGGGUCGUUUAUGAGCUAACUAAGGUCAAAUGGAUCAUUUUUUAGGUAACUAAGGUGAAAUGGAUCGUUUUUAGCUAACUUAGGUGAAAUGGAUCAUUUAUGAGCUAACUUAGUUGAAAUGGAUCGUUUUUGAGCUAACUUAGGUGAAAUGGAUCAUUCAUGAGCUAAUUUAGUUGAAAUGGAUCUUUUUGAGCUAACUUAGGUGAAAUGGAUCAUUUAAGAGCUAAUUUAGGUGAAAUGGAUCGUUUUUUAGCUAACUUGGUGAAAUGGAUCGUUUAUGAGCUAAAUUAGUUGAAAUGGAUCGUUUAUGAGAUAACCUAGGUAAGAUGGGUCAUUUUGGAGUUAACCUAGGUGAAAUGGGUCAUUUUAAAGCUAACGUAGGUAAAAUGGAUCAUUUAGGAGCUAAUCUAGGUAAAAUGGGUCAUUUUUGAGCUAACUUGGAUGAACUGGAUCAUUUAUAAGCUAACCUAGGUAAAAUGGGUCAUUUUAGAGCUAACUUAGGUAAAAUGGAUCGUCUAUGAGCUAACUAAGCUAAUUAUGCAAUUUUUGACAUAAGUAAGCUAAGUACAGAUCGUUUUAGAGCUAACUUAGGUAAAAUGGAUGGUUUUGGAGGUCAGUAAGCUUAUUAAGUCAUUUUGGAGGAGAAGAAGCUAAGUCUAGGUCAUUAUGGUAAGCAUUGGAGGAAAUAAAGCUAAGUCUAGGUCUUUAUGCAUGUGUUAAGCAAAACACUAGAUAAACUUACCAAGAUCCAGGAGGUGUAGGAGCGGGGUGGCUCGUGUCGGUAGAUGGAGAAGGAUCGUGCAAUGCUUGUCUGGAGUUACGCUGCACCAAAGAUCAUUUCCAAUGUCUUGUUAGCAUGAUGACACUCAAAUGUUAAGACUAGCAAGUAAUGUCCAUUCAAAUAAAACUCACCGUGGUCCUAGGAGCAAUCACUGGCAUCGGCGGAGCGGUCUGGCCUGUCUUCUCGCACACAGACUGCACAUUUGGUUUUGACGACUCAGCCAUACUAGUUAGUAAUGACACAAACACUACAUGAAUGUUUUGGCUAAUCUGCAGAAGAAACUUACCACAAGGAGCUCGUACAUGGCCCUUGCCUGCAUGUCAUUCCGUGCCCUCUCCUCCUCCAUCAUCUUUGUCGUCCUCUCCUCCAACUCCCGCUGCCUCUCCGCCGCCUCCGCCAGAAGUUUCUCCUUUCUAUCUCUCUCACUCUGUAUAGCAGCCUGCAACACCACUCACAUGACCAUUUGUAAUCAUUGAUGGAAGCGCACACAAUGUAAUUAAUGGAGAAAGAUAACUGAGUACGUAUCACUAACCUUGAUGGCGAGUUGCACUGGCCGUUCACGAGGCCUUAUCUCAGGAGCGGAGCUCGACUGGCGUGCCUUGAUCUCCAGGAGAGUGCUAGGACAACGGAUAAGUCCAUCUCCAAUGGCUAUGGAGCCAUGGGACCUCCCGCCACCAUAUAUCAUCACCAGCUCUGGAUCAAUGGGACCCUGGCUCGGGUUAAAGUCCUCCCCUUUCCUCGCCUUCCCCUCAUCUCUAUAUCUCACGAGCUUGUUGUGGGAGGAGAUGUUGGUGAAGUUGUUUGCAUCAUCGAGGUCAGACUGAGAGAAAGCCUUGACUUUCUUGAAAGAGGCAGUGUGGGCCAUGGCAUACAGGUCGUAUACCUUCGGUACCUUAUCCGCCUUAUUGUAGCGUGCCUGAAAGAGAGAAACAAUGAAAAUUAGUAAUUAAAGGGCUCAAGCUAGCAUGAUGAAUGAAUUGCAUGAAUCAUGAAGCAAAUCACAUACCCAGUUGCGCCCGAACUGAUAUAAGUUGGAGCUGCCUUGAUGGUGUGGAACACCUUCCAUUUGGGCACGUUUGUCCUUGGCCUCGUUGUGGAGGGCUAGCCAUUGUUUUGAGCACCACUCAUCGACCAACACCUCCCAACAAUCCAUCCGAUCCGCACACCAUCUCGGAGGCGCCUAAGUUAGCAAAUAGAAACUUGAGCGCUACGGCUAAGAAUUACUAAAUGAAGGAACUUAAGUAGAGAAGGCCUUAAGAAUUACCUUCAUGUACUGCUCCUUACUCAGGAACUUAUCGCGGCACGCCGGCUUGGUCUUCUUGAUCCCAUGCAAGGCGUAGUAGUCUCGAACAGCCUGCACCCGAGCCUCGUGCCGUAAGUUCUGGAGUAGGCGCUUGCAGACGUUCUCGAUAACAUGUGCCGCGUCCUCCUCGUAUCCCUCCUCACACCUGUAGAAUGUCUGCAAUCAAAUGAGACAAUAUUGAUUAGUACAAUUAAUAACUAGCUAGUUGAAGAUUUUUAAAUGUGUAAAGGAGAAAUUACCCAGAACUUUCUGAUCACCAUGUCUGCCCUCGUGUCGCACACGACACCGUCGAUAAUCUCAUCCGGCGGGGCCGGGGCAGCCAUGUAGUGCUCCCAGCUCAAUCCAAGCUCUGGAAGCCGACCCUCACCAGGCAACGUGACAAAUCCCGGGAAGUUUUGCCGGCAAAGAACUCCAAGGACGGAGUUGGGCCGGCGGACACUAUGAUGGUGGUCCCAACCCCUGCAGCAUGACAAGGCCAACGCAUUAGUUAUUUGAAGAAACGUGAAUGCAGAAGGUACAAAAAUAUUAAAUGCACUUACGUGCCUCUCCCCAUCAGGGAAAAUCAACCACCUCUGCUCGCGGGUCACCGGCACGGACGGGAGCCGUGUAGCACCACGCUGGUAGACGUUGCCCCCCUCCUCCCCCUCCUCAUCAGUCGGCUCCCCGCCAUCAUCAGCAUGGCCACUCGGCUCCCCGCCAUGCUUAGGCUGACCCGGCUAGGUACCCCAUCCAGACAUGUGCUCCUCCGGGUCUCAUGGGCCAAAGGCACGUCGCCCCGAGGCUCGUGGGCCGAAGACUCGUGGACCGGAGUCCGUGCAGCCUCCUCCUCAGACGAGUCCACCCUAGCAGUCACGUGCUCGGGUGAAACAGCUGGGGGUGGCGGCGAGGAAGGCGCCCUAGCAGUCACCGUACGUCCUCUCCCGCGACCACGUGCUCCAGCUCCUCUCUUCUUCUUACCUUGUCCCCUGCUAGGCACCGCGGUCGACGAAGAAGGGCCCGGCGGUGUCGCCAUACUGUCCAGCAACGCUCGGCAGAGAGGUGCGUGUGGAAUGGAAGACCUCGCACCACACGCCGACGAAGAAGGGGCCUCGGCGCGCUCCCGACCAGCACCCACCAUCUUUCAACACCUGCCAUGACAAAGAAUAAACGAAAUUAGUACAACAUAAAAAAAGUACCAACAUGAAUAAUAAUAUGCAUAUCACUUAAGUGUAUCAUCAUCAAGUACAACAUAAAAAAAUUGAAUACCUGACACUACUAAUAAUCUCGAUCAGUAUCAUCAAUAAAUGCAUAAUCAUCAUCAUCACUAUAAUCAAUGAUGGGCUCAUAGGGUUCAUUGGCAUCAACAUGUGCAAGGCCACCUUGACGUAAUCGGUCAAGCAUUGACAGGUCAUCCGCAGCAGUAACCUCUUCUUGUUCCGGCUCUUCUUGUUCCUCCUCUGGGGUGAUGUCGUAUUCAUUGUCGCUGUCUACUUCAAUGUUUUGGGGUGAAGUAUAGCGGUUCUUGAAACGCUUUUUGGAAAGACGUGUCUCUUGGAAGAAUUCUCCUUCAUAUGUGUCUAGGUUAAUGUGAGGUUCAUAAUCCUCUUCCUUUGGGGGAGAAAGUCUAGCACGUGGCGGCACUUCAUAAACGACAUCCCAACCUUUCAGAUUUGGAUAAGUUUGGCAGGCCCACGGUAGAUAGAAUACUUGGGUCGCCUGUUGAGCCAUAAUAUAGACAUCAUGAACAUCUAAAUGAGUGCUUUGGUUGAUUUCAACUAGCCCUAUAUGUUCAUGAGUCCUUCUAGUCUCCUUCGGCUGAAACCAAUAACAUUUGAAGACUACGACAUUCGGUGGGUUUUCACCAUAGAACAGAAGUUCAUAAAUUGCUUCAACUCUCCCAUAAUACUCGGUACCUCCUUCGCCGAUAGCAGAUACACAACAAUUUGUAGACUUUCAGUCGGCCAUAGAUAGCUCUUUGCCAUAGGUACGAAAGCGAUACCCGUUGAUGUCGUACUUGUCAAAUGAACGGACCUUAUAGUCAAAACCAUUAGCGACUUGUCUCAAUUCGGCGUCCAUAGACUCUGAAUUAGCCUACAAGUUUAAUAUGAAAGGAUUGUUGCAUUAUGCACAAAUUAGCGAAUGAAAUGAAAUUGUCUAAUAGAAAUUACCGUUUGUUUGAACCAAGAGAUGAAACCGGGAUAGCCACCUCCUUUCUUUGCGAGAAGCUCAUACUCUUCAAUGGAAUCCUUUUGGAUCUCCGCUCCAUACGAGAAUAUGGCGACAUAUCGACUGUAUGACAUAUCCAGGAAUAAGAGUAGUUCAAAGGAAAUAGAAGUUGCGAAACAAUGUACCGAGAACUUACUCGAUGUACGGCCGCACUUCUAUCAGGUUGUUGAAGAUAUACAACGAAAUGGUCCGCCAUUCUUCGUUAUCCAAAGAUACUGGAUGUGAAACACUAGCUGGUGCGAGAUUCCCUUUGAAUAGGCUGAGGUUGGAUCCACCCUUUUUAGGCUCGUCAGCAUUGUACCGAGGCUUCGGAUUAUGCAAAUGACGAUUUUUGGCUUCGUAGUGCGCUGUUACAAAGUUUGCCGCCUCCUCUGUGAUGAAUGCCUCAGCCAUCGAUGCUUCAAUUCUACGUUUAUUUUUACACUUUUCUCGAAGCGUCUUCUGCAUCCUCUCAGUUGGGUAGCACCAAUGAUUUUGCACGGGCCCCCCAAUCUUGCCUCGGUUGGGAGAUGCAAAAUCAAAUGCUGCAUUGGAUUAAAGAAGCCCGGUGGAAAGAUCUUCUCUAACUUGCAGAUCAACUCCGGCGCCAACUCUUCCAUUUCUUCUAGCACGCCAGGCGAUAGUUCUUUCGCACAAAGAACACGGAAGAAAUAGCUGAGUUCUGCCAGUACUAGCCAUUCAUCCUCAGGGAUGAAGCCACGCAACAUCACCGGCAUUAACCGCUCAAUCCAUAUGUGCCAAUCAUGACUCUUGAGACCAAAUAUCUUCAGUUUAUCAAGAUUCGCUCCCCUCUUUAGAUUUGCUGCAUACCCAUCGGGGAACAUCAACUGCUGUUGCACCCACAAGAGAAUUUCCCUCAUAGCUGGCCUUCCAAGAUUGAACCAUGCUUUUGGCUUCGUCCAGUUCUGCUUUCCUUUCGGUUCUUUCAUGUUUUGUAACGGCCUAUCACAUAGCGCCUCCAGAUCGACUCUAGCCUUAGUAUUAUCCUUUGACUUCCCAUCUAUGCCGAACAAUGUACCAAAAAGUGCCUCGGCGAUAUUCUUCUCAGUGUGCAUCACGUCGAUGUUGUGUGGGCAAAGGAGGUCUUUGAAGUAAGGCAGAUCCCAUAAGCAUGUUUUGUGAGUCCACGCGUGCUUAGUAUUAUACCCCUUGAAGUACCCUGGACGUUGUGGAUCUGGCUCGAGAGCGUUUAACUGAUCCAGGGUCUGUUGGCCUGUCAAUGCAGGUGGUGCAGAGUUUUUGACAACUCUACCCCUGAUCAAGUUCUUCUUGUCUUUCCUGAACUUAUGGCGAGGAUCCAGGAACUGUCUAUGCAUGUCAAAGCAAGAAAACUUGCGACCGGCCAGAAGCCAACGAAACUCAAGAGCUCCCUUGCAUGUGGGGCACGGGAACCUUCCAUGCACACACCAGCCAACGAAUAGCGCAUACGCCGGCAAGUCAUGCGUCGAGUACAUGUACCAGACACGCAUUAUGAAGUUCCGUUUGCUAAAGGCAUCAUAUGUCUUGAACCCAUUAUCCCAGGCUUCUUGCAAUUCGUCCUUAAGCGGCUGCAUGUACAGAUUCAUAUUUUUGCCCGGAUAGUUGGGUCCUAGAAUUAUCAACGUCAGGAAAAUGUUCUUUCUUUGCAUAAUCUGUCCGGGGGGGAGACUGAGUGGAAAGACAAAUACGGGCCAACAACUGUAUUGGGCUGCCGUCAUACCAAACACACUGAACCCAUCUGUGCUGAUGCCGACUCGAGGAUGCCUCGGAUCUGCCGCUUUGUCAGCAUGUAAUUCAUCAAACUUUUUCCACGCAACACCAUCCGAUGUGUGUACCAUCAUCAGAUUCCCAUCUGCAUCUAGUUCGGUUCUUUUGCUUGUUUUGUGCCAUGUCAUCUGUCUGGCCGUCUCUUCGACCAUGAAAAGACGUUGAAGUCUUGGUAUGAUUGGCAUAUACCGAAGAACACUAACGGGGAUUUUGGUCUGUGUCUUCUCACCCAUACCGUUGUCUACCACAAUAUACUUGGAAGACUUGCAAAUGGGACAAUAGUUCAAGUCCGCAUAGUCAAGCCUAAAUAAGGCACGUCCUUUCUCACAGGCAUGUAUCUUCUCAUAGGGCACCUUCAGUGCAUGGAGGAUUUUGUCCGACUGGUACAGGUUUGCAGGCAUUACAUGGCCUUUGGGUAGAAAGCGUCCAAAUACUGUCAUAAUUGCGUCAUAGCAUUCUCUGCCCAAGUUGAACUGAGCCUUUAGAGCCAUUACUUGUGAGAUGGCAUCCAACUGACAAAGCUCAGUGUGCUCGUGGAGCGGACGUUUCGAAGACUCCAACAUUUCAUUGAAGGCCUUUGCAGAUUCCUCCAUCUCCUCGUUCGAAUCCCGAGCAUCAUCAUAGCCUUGCACCAUGUUUUCCAUCCUGGUACCAUGCUCGUCGGUGCGACGACGAUCCACCUCAGCUCGGUCACGUUGGGCAGACUCACCAUGAAAUGUCCACACCAUAUAAUCGGGCGUAAAACCACUCUUCUGCAGGUGUUUGCCCAUUUCAGCCUCUGUCUUCUUUUCCCAAUUGCCGCACCGGAAACAGGGGCACCAGGUUUUCUUUUGGCCAUUUGCAAAUGCGGCUUGCACAAACCCCUUAGUUUUUGUGAACCAUUCAGCGCUCCAUUUGUUCUGACCAGUGUGACCGGUAUACAUCCAAGCACGGUCACUCAUCUUGACUUUCAGAGCUACUGGACACACAACAAUUAUAUAUGUAAUUCACCAUGUAUAUAUUCAUUAGUUGAUCUACUUUGUCAAUUUUAUUACGUCCAUGCAACCUACACUCUAAUAGGUAAUGAUAGGUCCUAAUCCCACCCGUGUAUGUGUAGAUUGGGUUCAUUUUCCCAUGCUAUGCUCCGGAUCCGACGCAAAAUUUCGGCAGCACCUCCCCGCUGUUCUCCUGAUACACGUCUCUGCAAUAAACAGAGAGGAUGUGUACCCGGAGAACAAUAGGGGAGGCACUGACGAAAUAUAUGCGUCGGAUCUGGAGCAAAGCAUAUGGGAAAACGAACCCAAUCUACACAUACUCGGGCUGUCCAUGGAUAGCGUUGGACAAUUCGAACGGGAGACACAUAUUUAUAAAUAUGCAAAUGCAUGCAUAUUUAUAACUAUGACGCUUUCGAACGGGAGACACAUAUUGGUUACGCAUACUGAUGAUUCAAGACACAUAUAUAGCUAGCUAUCAAGUUUCAUCGGAAUAGAUCGAAUAAUUAAUGGGGGAGGAGGACUUGUCAUUUGUGCUCACCCACGAACGAAGGGGCAGAGCUCGUCAAACGCACGGCGAGGUCGUCGAACACCAAACCUCGCAGCGAUGAAACAACUGCACAUUUAAAACUACACGAUCAACACAAUUAUAUAUGAUGUUUUUGAUAACAAAAUCGAAAAAUAUAUGACCUAACUAAUAAUUCACAAAUAUAUGACCCCGUCGGCCUCUGGAAGGCCAAAGAACACCUUUUCGGGAGGUGUCGGUGGUCGGGGUGUCCUGUCGGUGUCGGGGUGCCGUGUUGGAGUCGGGGUGCUGUUUCGGGGUCGGGGGGUCGGGGUGUCGUGUCGAUNNNNNNNNNNNNNNNNNNNNNNNNNNNNNNNNNNNNNNNNNNNNNNNNNNNNNNNNNNNNNNNNNNNNNNNNNNNNNNNNNNNNNNNNNNNNNNNNNNNNNNNNNNNNNNNNNNNNNNNNNNNNNNNNNNNNNNNNNNNNNNNNNNNNNNNNNNNNNNNNNNNNNNNNNNNNNNNNNNNNNNNNNNNNNNNNNNNNNNNNNNNNNNNNNNNNNNNNNNNNNNNNNNNNNNNNNNNNNNNNNNNNNNNNNNNNNNNNNNNNNNNNNNNNNNNNNNNNNNNNNNNNNNNNNNNNNNNNNNNNNNNNNNNNNNNNNNNNNNNNNNNNNNNNNNNNNNNNNNNNNNNNNNNNNNNNNNNNNNNNNNNNNNNNNNNNNNNNNNNNNNNNNNNNNNNNNNNNNNNNNNNNNNNNNNNNNNNNNNNNNNNNNNNNNNNNNNNNNNNNNNNNNNNNNNNNNNNNNNNNNNNNNNNNNNNNNNNNNNNNNNNNNNNNNNNNNNNNNNNNNNNNNNNNNNNNNNNNNNNNNNNNNNNNNNNNNNNNNNNNNNNNNNNNNNNNNNNNNNNNNNNNNNNNNNNNNNNNNNNNNNNNNNNNNNNNNNNNNNNNNNNNNNNNNNNNNNNNNNNNNNNNNNNNNNNNNNNNNNNNNNNNNNNNNNNNNNNNNNNNNNNNNNNNNNNNNNNNNNNNNNNNNNNNNNNNNNNNNNNNNNNNNNNNNNNNNNNNNNNNNNNNNNNNNNNNNNNNNNNNNNNNNNNNNNNNNNNNNNNNNNNNNNNNNNNNNNNNNNNNNNNNNNNNNNNNNNNNNNNNNNNNNNNNNNNNNNNNNNNNNNNNNNNNNNNNNNNNNNNNNNNNNNNNNNNNNNNNNNNNNNNNNNNNNNNNNNNNNNNNNNNNNNNNNNNNNNNNNNNNNNNNNNNNNNNNNNNNNNNNNNNNNNNNNNNNNNNNNNNNNNNNNNNNNNNNNNNNNNNNNNNNNNNNNNNNNNNNNNNNNNNNNNNNNNNNNNNNNNNNNNNNNNNNNNNNNNNNNNNNNNNNNNNNNNNNNNNNNNNNNNNNNNNNNNNNNNNNNNNNNNNNNNNNNNNNNNNNNNNNNNNNNNNNNNNNNNNNNNNNNNNNNNNNNNNNNNNNNNNNNNNNNNNNNNNNNNNNNNNNNNNNNNNNNNNNNNNNNNNNNNNNNNNNNNNNNNNNNNNNNNNNNNNNNNNNNNNNNNNNNNNNNNNNNNNNNNNNNNNNNNNNNNNNNNNNNNNNNNNNNNNNNNNNNNNNNNNNNNNNNNNNNNNNNNNNNNNNNNNNNNNNNNNNNNNNNNNNNNNNNNNNNNNNNNNNNNNNNNNNNNNNNNNNNNNNNNNNNNNNNNNNNNNNNNNNNNNNNNNNNNNNNNNNNNNNNNNNNNNNNNNNNNNNNNNNNNNNNNNNNNNNNNNNNNNNNNNNNNNNNNNNNNNNNNNNNNNNNNNNNNNNNNNNNNNNNNNNNNNNNNNNNNNNNNNNNNNNNNNNNNNNNNNNNNNNNNNNNNNNNNNNNNNNNNNNNNNNNNNNNNNNNNNNNNNNNNNNNNNNNNNNNNNNNNNNNNNNNNNNNNNNNNNNNNNNNNNNNNNNNNNNNNNNNNNNNNNNNGCGGCGAGUGGUGGUGGCGGCGGCGCGCGUGUGGGAGCAGGGGAGAGAAACAGAGAGAGAGAGGGGAGGGGUGGGGGGCGCGCCGUUAGAUAUGUUAAAUCUUUGCCGUCCGUCCCCCUUUGCCGUCCGCUUAUUUGCUCUUUGCCGUCUGCUUGCAGACGGCAAAGAGGGGGGCCCGUUAAGUUUUUUUUAAACAGCUCGUCAGUGGGGCCCCUCCCUCUUUGCCGUCUGCUAGCCGACGGCAAAGAAUCUUUACCGUCUGCUAGCCGACGGCAAAGAAUCUUUACCGUCAGCUAGCGGACGGCAAAGAACUGGCUGAUGGCAAAGGCUUUCUUUGCCAUCAACCAGUUCUUUGCCGUCUGCUUUCGGGUAGCAGACGGCAAAGAGCUGGCAGAUGGAAAAGUAGCUGAUUCCAGUAGUGAUGGGUAUGGAAAGAGGACGGCAAGGGAUAUUCUGCCAAGAAAUACUAUUCCUUCUUGCAUAAACACAUUGUGCCCAACCCACUCUUGUCCUGGGUGUGGGCUAGCUGCUGCACUAUGAGGAUCAAGUUCUUUGCUUGGAUGUUGAUUAUGGAUCGGUUGAACACUCAGGAUAUGCUGGAGAGAAGGCACUAGAAUGUUUCUGAAUCAAACCAUUGUGUACUUUGUCCAACGCACACCAAGGAGGAUAGAGAUCACCUAUUCUUUCAAUGUAAUUUCAGUUGUAUGAUUUGAGCCAUUACUUUUGGGAUGACCCACAUCUUUAUAAAGAAGGAGUAGAUGGUGUUAUUAGACGUUGUGUACCUGAGCAUGAACAGGAACAGAUCCUACGCAAGUGCCACUCCGAAGCCUAUGGAAGACACCACACUGGAGAUAGAACUGCACAUAAGGUAUUGCAAUCCAGUUUUUAUUGGCCUACUCUCUUCAAGGGUGCCCGUAAGUUUGUCUUAUCUUGUGAUGAAUGUCAAAGAAUUGGUAAUAUUAGUAGACAUCACGAAAUGCCUAUGAAUUAUUCACUCGUUAUUGAACCAUUUGAUGUUUGGGGCUUUGAUUAUAUGGGACCUUUUCCUGCCUCUAAUGGAUAUACACAUAUUCUAGUUGCUGUUGAUUACGUUACUAAGUGGGUAGAAGCUAUUCCAACUAGUAGUGCUGAUCAUAACACUUCUAUUAAAAUGCUUAAGGAAGUUAUUUUUCUGAGGUUUGGAGUCCCUAGAUAUUUAAUGACUGAUGGUGGUUCACACUUUAUUCAUGGUGCUUUCCGUAAAAUGCUUGCUAAGUAUGACGUUAAUCAUAGAAUUGCAUCUCUUUAUCACCCACAGUCUAGUGGUCAAGUAGAAUUGAGUAAUAGAGAGCUCAAAUUAAUUUUGCAAAAGACGGUUAAUAGGUCUAGAAAGAAUUGGUCCAAGAAACUUGAUGAUGCAUUAUGGGCCUAUAGAACUGCAUAUAAAAAUCCUAUGGGUAUGUCUCCGUAUAAAAUGGUAUAUGGAAAAGCAUGUCACUUACCUCUCGAACUAGAACAUAAGGCAUAUUGGGCUAUUAAAGAGCUCAAUUAUGAUUUCAAACUUGCCGGUGAGAAGAGGUUAUUUGAUAUUAGCUCACUUGAUGAAUGGAGAACCCAAGCUUAUGAAAAUGCCAAGUUGUUUAAAGAAAAAGUUAAAAGAUGGCAUGACAAAAGGAUACAAAAGUGUGAGUUUAAUGUAGGUGAUUAUGUAUUGCUAUACAACUCUCGUUUAAGAUUUUUUGCAGGAAAACUUAUCUCUAAAUGGGAAGGCCCCUACGUUAUCGAGGAGGUCUAUCGUUCCGGUGCCAUAAAAAUCAACAACUUCGAAGGCACAAAUCCGAAGGUGGUUAACGGUCAAAUAAUUAAACAUUAUAUCUCAGGUAAUCCCAUAAAUAUUGAAACCAAUAUUAUUGAAACCGUGACCCCAGAGGAAUACAUAAGAGACACUUUCCAGAACGUUUCAGACUCCGAAAAGGAAUAGGUAUGUGAUACGGUAAGUAAACCGACUCCAAAACAGUUUUUAAGGCAAUAUUUCUCCGUUUUGGAGUAUUUAGAAAAAUAGAAAAAUAAGUAGCAGUCCGGGAAGGACACGAGGGCCCCACGAGGGUGGAGGGCGUGCCUCCCUACCUCGUGAGCACCUCGUGUGCCUUCCGGACUCCGUUUUCUUGCAUGAUACGUAUUUUGGUCGGUAAAAAUUCAUUAUAUAUUCUCCCAAAGGUUUUGACUCCCAUAUCACGUGAAUAUCCUCUGUUCUUGUUUUGGGCUGUUCUCUGUCAGGGUUGUCAAGGCCAGGCAUCAUGUCGUCCCCCUCCUCCAACAAUGGUGACAAAGAUGCUUGGCUAAUGAAGAUAGAGCUGAAGAGGGAAGAACCCAUGGAGAUCAACAAGGAUGAAGGGAUCAAGAAGGCCGCGGAGAACCAAGCUCCGGCAACAGAAGCAAUCCUUCAACUUGAUCACAACCUUCUUACCCCAACUGAGAUCGAAGCUUUCCAGAUGAUUGAGUUAACUCGUAUUCAAAACAAGUAUCUCACAAGUGAAAAUAUUUUGUUGAAGGAGCAUAUCUUUGCACUCAAGGGCAUUAUUCGCAAGCUAGAGGACCUCUUGCGCUCGAUGUGCGACUAUCCAUCACCUCCAUCUUCACCAACAGCAAAGAAGGAGACAUAAUCACAUGGGUAUGGGCACUCCCCUUGGCAACUGCCAAGCUUGGGGGAGGUGCCCCGGUAUCGUAUCACCAUCACAACUCCUAUCUUUACCGUUUUUCUUAGUUCGAUCCUAUUAGUAGUAUCUUGAUCUAGUAGAAUAAAGUUUAUGGCAUGAUCUAGUUUUGAGUUUUGCUUUAUGAUCUCUCUAUGUAAUCGAGUCCGUGAGCUAUAUAUAUAAUAAACAUUAGUGUUGAGUCAAGGGCUUGAUUAUUUUGCCAUGAUCUUGAGUGAAUAAAAGAAAAAGAAGAAAAAUAAUAAAAAGAAACAUAGAGUUCAUAUUGAUCUUAUCGAGAGUAAUGACUUCACAUAGAAAGAGUAUGAUGAUUAAAAGUUGUUGGGAGUUGGCAGACAUAGCUUUGGUCAUCAUUGCAAUUAAUAGGAAGUAAUAAGGAAAGAGAGGUUUCACAUAUAAAUAUACUAUUAUUGACAUCUUUUAUGAUUGGGAGCACUCAUUAAAAUACGACAUGCUAAAGAGUUGAUGUUGGACAAGGAAGACAACGUAAUGAAUUAUGUUUUAUUAUAUCUGAGAUAAAGUAUGUUUUCAUGGAUCCUCUAACAUGUUGAGCUUGCCUUUCCCCCUCAUGCUAGCCAAAUUCUCAGCACCAAGUAGAUAUACUACUUGUGCUUCCAAAUACCCUUAAACCAGUUUUGCCAUGAGAGUCCACCAUAUCUACCUAUGGAUUGAGUAAGAUCCUUCAAGUAAGUUGUCAUCGGUGCAAAGCAAUAAAAAUUGCUCUAAAUAUGUAUGAUUGAUUGGUGUGGGAGAAAUAAGCUUUAUACGAUCUUGUGAUGUGGAAGUAAUAAAAGCGACGGACUGCAUAAUAAAGGUUCAUAUCACAAGGGGCAAUAUAAAGUGACAUUCUUUUGCAUUGAGAUUUUAUGCAUCCAACCAUAAGAGCGCAUGGCAACCUCUGCUUCCCUCUGCGAAGGGCCUAUCUUUUAUUAUUAUCUUCUACCUUAUGCAAGAGUCACGAUGAUCUUCACCUUUCUUUUUUCGUUUUAUCCUUUGGCAAGCCCAGCAUGUUGGAAAGAACAUGAUAUAUAUAUAUAUAUAUAUAUAUAUAUAUAUAUAUAUAUAUAUAUAUAUAAUUGUAUGUAGGGGAGCAUGAGUUAUUAUUGUUGACAUUACCCUUGAGGUAAAAGGUUGGGAGGCGAAACUAUAAGCCCCUAUCUUUCUCUGUGUCCGAUUAAAACUUCAUAACCAUAAGUAUUGCGUGAGUGUUAGCAAUUAUGAAGGACUAGAUGAUAGUUGAGUAUGUGGACUUGCUUUUAAGCUCUGACAUAGACUCUUUCUGAUGUUAUGAUAAAUUGCAAUUGCUUCAAUGACCGAGAUUAUAGUUUGUUGGUUCUCAAUAAAGUUUCUAAUUCAUACUUUUGCAUUGUGAAUAGAUCAUCACUUGAACAUAAGUAAUCAUAUGACAAUAUCUAUAUAUGUUGCUGUUAUGAGAAUAAUCAUGAUGCCUUCAUGUCCGUAUUUUAUUUUUAUCGACGCCUCUACCUCUAAACAUGGGGACAUAUUUAUUGUUAUCGGAUUUCGCUUGAGGACAAGCGAGGUCUAAGCUUGGGGGAGUUGAUACGUCCAUUUUGCAUCAUGCUUUUAUAUCGAUAUUUAUUGUAUUAUGGGCUGUUACUUCACAUUAUAUCACAAUACUUAUGGCUAUUCUCUCUUAUUUUACAAGGUUUACAUAAGGAGGGAGAAUGCCGGCAGCUACAAUUCUGGGCUGGAAAAGGAGCAAAUAUUAGAGACCUAUUCUGCACAACUCCAAAAGUCCUGAAACUCCACGGAAUAUCUUAUAAUAAAUAAUAAAAAAAUCCUCGCCAAAGAUGAAGACCAGGGGGCCCACACCCUGUCCACGAGGGUGGGGGGCGCCCCCCCUAGGGCGCGCCCCCUACCUCGUGGGCCCCCUGGUGGCUCUCCGACGCCCAUCUUCUGCUAUAUGAAGUCUUUCGUCGAGAGAAAAACAGGAGGCAACCUUUUGGGACGAGACUCCGCCGCCACGAGGUGGAACCUUGGCGGAACCAAUCUAGGACUCCGGCAGAGCUGUUCUGCCGGGGACACUUCCCUCCGGGAGGGGGAAAUCAUCGCCAUCGUCAUCACCAACGCUCCUCUCAUCGGGACAGGGCAAUCUCCAUCAACAUCUUCACCAGCACCAUCUCCUCUCAAAACCCUAGUUCAUCUCUUGUAUCCAAUUCUUGUCUCCAAGUCCGGGAUUGGUGCUAGUAGGUCGCUAGUAGUGUUGAUUACUCCUUGUAGUUGAUGCUAGUUGGUUUAUUUGGUGGAAGAUCAUAUGUUCAGAUCUUUUAUGCAUAUUAUUACCCCUUUGAUUAUGAACAUGACUAUGCUUUGUGAGUAGUUACAUUUGUUCCUGAGGACACGGGAGAAGUCUUGCUAUUAGUAGUCAUGUGAAUUUGGUAUUCGUUCGAUAUUUUGAUGAGAUGUAUGUUGUCUAGCCUCUAGUGGUGUUAUGUGAACGUUGACUACAUAACACUUCACCAUUAUUUGGGCCAAGAGGAAGGCAUUGGGAAGUAAUAAGUAGAUGAUGGGUUUCUAGAGUGACAGAAGCUUAAAACCUAGUUUAUGCGUUGCUUCGUAAGGGGCUGAUUUGGAUCCAUAUGUUUCAUGCUAUGGUUAAGUUUACCUUAAUACUUUUGGUGUAGUUGCGGAUGCUUGCAAUAGAGGUUAAUCAUAAGUGGGAUGCUUGCUCAAGUAAGAACAGCACCCAAGCACCGGUCCACCCACAUAUCAAAUUAUCAAAGUACCGAACGCGAAUCAUAUGAACGUGAUGAAAACUAGCUUGACGAUAUUCCCAUGUGUCCUCGGGAGCGCUUUUCCUAUUAUAAGAGUUUGUCCAGGCUUGUCCUUUGCUACAAAAAGGAUUGGGCCACCUUGCUGCACUUUAUUUACUUUUGUUACUUGUUGCUCGUUACAAAUUAUCUUAUCACAAAACUAUCGGUUACCACUUAUUUCAGUACUUGCGGAGAAUACCUUGCUGAAAACCGCUUAUCAUUUCCUUCUGCUCCUCGUUGGGUUCGACACUCUUACUUAUCGAAAGGACUAUGAUAGAUCCCCUAUACUUGUGGGUCAUCAAAUAUGUAGGAGCCAAUAUGGGCAUCCAGGUCCUGCUAUUGGUUAUUGACCAGAGAGGUGUCUCGGUCAUGUCUACAUAGUUCUCGAACCCGUAGGGUCCGCACGCUUAACGUUCGUUGACGAUAUAGUACUAUGAGUUAUGUAUGUUUGUGACCAAAUGUUGUUUGGAGUUUUGGAUGAGAUCACGGAUAUGACGAGGAACUCCAGAAUGGUCCGGAAGUAAAGAUUGAUAUGUGGAUAGUAGUGUUUGAUCUCCGGAAAGGUUCCGGAAUCCAUCGGAAGGGGUUCCGGAUGUUUCCCGAAAUGUUUGGGCACGAGAACACUUUAUCUGGGCCAAAGGGGAAAGCCCACGAGGUAUUUGGAAAGCGCAAAAGGAAGUUUUGCGGAGUCCAGGGUCCAGAUGCCAGGGUCCCUGGCGUCUGGAUCCAGACGCCGGGAACCCUGGCGUCUGGCCCUGGAGUUCGAGAAGGACUCUUGCCUUUCGGGUGAAACCGACUUUGUGGAGGCUUUUGCUCCAAGUUUCGACCCCAAGGCUCAACAUAUAAAUAGAGGGGUAGGGCUAGCACCCAAGACACAUCAAGAAACACCAAGUCGUGUGCCGGCAACCCCGUCUCCUCUAGUUUAUCCUCCGUCAUAGUUUUCUUAGUGCUUAGGCGAAGCCCUGCGAAGAUUGUUCUUCACCAACACCGUCACCACGCCGUCGUGAUGCCGAAACUCAUCUACUACUUCGCCCCUCUUGCUGGAUCGAGAAGGCGAGGACGUCACCGAGCCGAACGUGUGCAGAACUCGGAGGUGCCGUGCUUUCGGUACUUGGAUCGGUCGGAUCGUGAAAACGUACGACUACAUCAACCGCGUUGAUAUAACGCUUCCGCUUUCGGUCUACGAGGGUACGUAGACAACACUCUCCCCUCUCAUUGCUAUGCAUCACCAUGAUCCUGUGUGUGCGUAGGAAAUUUUUUGAAAUUACUAUGUUCCCCAACAAUUACUACCUCCGUCCUGGUUUAUUGGUCCCCUUUGUAAUUUGUGCCAAAUUUUGACCAAAUAUUUAACUAACAAAAUAUUAAUGCAUGUCAACAAAAAUUGUAUCGUUGGAUUUGUAUUUGAACAUAGUUUCCAAUGAUGUAAUUUUUGGUGACAUGCAUGAACAUUUUGUUAGUUAAAUUUAUGGUCAAAAUUUGGCCCAAAAUACAAUGGGACCAAUAAACCGGGACGGAGGUAGUAGUUAUGUAAUGGUUAUGUAUGGAUCUCCCAAAUAUGCUACUUAUUAGUUAUGUAAUGGUUAUGUAUGGAUCUCCCAAAUAUGCUACUUAUUAGUUAUGUAAUGGUUAUGUAUGGAUCUCCCAAAUAUGCUACUUAUCAGUAAUGUAAUGGUAAUGUAUGGAUCUCUCAAAUAUGGUACUUAUUAGUUAUGUAGUGGCUAUGUGGAUCUCCCAAAUAUGCUCAAUGUGAUGAAGGUGGUUAUGAUAUUUUGAUGUUAUUGUUAGGCUGACGAAUCACUUUGGUGGUUUUGUCGACAUCGAGGGACCCUAGACUCACUUUGGUGGUUUUGUUGACGUCGAGGGACCCCAGACUCACUUUGGUGGUUUUGUCAACGCCGAGGGACCGUAGACUCACUUUGGUGGUUUUGUCGACGUCGAGGGACCCUAGACUCACUUUGGUGGUUUUGUCAACGUCGAGAGACUCAUAAACAACUAGCAUCUAUCUUGCUAUGAGUGCAUAAGCAACUAAGAUCAACAUCUAGCGUCAAGUUUAAAGAGCAAAAUAUGAGGCAUAAACAUCCAACAUCAUCAUCAAGUUCAAAGCAACAACAUAAAUGUUGUCAACCAGCAUCAAGUUCAACAGCCAAAAACGACAAUAACCAAGGCAUAUAGUUCAAGCAGCCAACAAGGGUACCAACAUCAACAUCUAGUUCAACAGCCAACAAAGGUACCAACAUCAACAUCUAGUUCAACAGCCAACAAUGGCACCAACAUCAACAUCUAGUUCAGCAGCCAACAAAGGCACCAACAUCUAGUUACCAGAAGCAUAUGGGUAUUCUUUCAUCUUGUAGGAAACAGUCCUCUUCCUUCCAAUCUGUCUUCGAGCCUGAAAUGUUCUCCUAUAGCCUGCAAUAGAGGUAGAGGGUGUACCAGUUGUCGUAUCUUUCUUCCUGGGAGACCUCCUUGGAGGAGCAGUAGGUGCAGUAGCAGCAAGUACAGCUUUCCUUCUUGGAGGAGCAGUAGGUGGAGUAGCAGCAGGUGUGGCAUUCCUGCUUGGAGGAGUAGUUGGUGCAGCUUUCUUCCUAGGAGGAGCAGUACCAACAGCUGUUGUAGAUGGAGAUGGCCUCUUCCUUGUUGGUGUAGCAGCUGUAAAUGAAAUGGUGGUUGAAGCAGAAGCUUGUGACCUAUUUGGCUUCAUUUCAAAAACAAUUAUGAAUUUCAAUUCAGACAGAAUAAUGAAAAUUGAGAUGCUUAGCUAACUUGACGCUGGUUUUUUCUCACUGCAAGAGCUAGCUUUAGGUGCUUGGAGCACACACUGUAUUUAUGCCCUAUGAUAACCCACAAGUAUAGGGGAUCGCAACAGUUUUCGAGGGUAGAGUAUUCAACCCAAAUUUAUUGAUACGACACAAGGGGAGCCAAAGAAUAUUCUCAAGUAUUAGCAGCUGAGUUGUCAAUUCAACCACACCUGGAAACUUAGUAUCCGCAGCAAAGUGUUUAGUAGCAAAGUAAUAUGAUAUUGGUGGCAACGGUAACAAAAGAGUAGUGCAAGCAAUAGUAAAUAUUUUUCGUAAUUUGUAGUGAUUGUAACAGUAGCAGCGGGAAAGUAAAUAAGCGAGAACCAGUAUAUGGAAAACUCGUAGGCACCGAAUUAGUGAUGGAUAAUUAUGCCGGAUGUGGUUCAUCAUGUAACAUUCAUAACAUAGGGUGACACAGAACUAGCUCCAAUUCAUCAAUGUAAUGUAGGCAUGUAUUCCGUAUAUAGUCAUACGUGCUUAUGGAAAAGAACUUGCAUGACAUCUUUUGUCCUACCCUCCCGUGGCAGCGGGGUCCUAUUGGAAACUAAGGGAUAUUAAGGCCUCCUUUUAAUAGAGAACCAGAACAAAGCAUUAGCACAUAGUGAAUACAUGAACUCCUCAAACUAUGGUCAUCACCGGGAGUGGUCCCGAUUAUUGUCACUUCGGGGUUGCCGGAUCAUAACACAUAGUAGGUGACUAUAGACUUGCAAGAUAGGAUCAAGAACUCACAUAUAUUCAUGAAAACAUAAUAGGUUCAGAUCUGAAAUCAUGGCACUCGGGCCCUAGUGACAAGCAUUAAGCAUAGCAAAGUCAUAGCAACAUCAAUCUCAGAACAUAGUGGAUACUAGGGAUCAAACCCUAACAAAACUAACUCGAUUACAUGAUAAAUCUCAUCCAACCCAUCACCGUCCAGCAAGCCUACGAUGGAAUUACUCACGCACGGCGAUGAGCAUAAUGAAAUUGGUGAUGGAGGAUGGUUGAUGAUGACGACGGCGACGAAUACCCCUCUCCAGAGCCCCGAACGGACUCCAGAUCAGCCCUCCCGAGAGGUUUUAGGGCUUGGCGGCGGCUCCUUAUUGUAAAACGCGAUGAUUUCUUCUCUCUGAUUUUUUUCUCUUCGAAAGCAGAUAUAUAGAGUUGGAAUUGGCGUCAGAGGGUUUCCAGGGGGCCCAUGAGGUAGGGGGCGCGCCCCCCACCCUCGUGGACAGGAUGUGGGCCCCCUGGUCUUCAUCUUUGGCGAGGAUUUUUUAUUAUUUUUUCUAAGAUGUUCUGUGGAGUUUCAGGUCAUUCCGAGAAUAUUUGUUUUCUGCACAUAAAACAACAUCAUGGCAAUUCUGCUGAAAACAGCGUCAGUCCGGGUUAGUUCCAUUCAAAUCACACAAGUUAGAGUCCAAAACAAGGGCAAAAGUGUUUGGAAAAGUAGAUAUGGCGGAGACGUAUCAACUCCCCCAAGCUUAAACCCUUGCUUGUCCUCAAGCAAUUCAGUUGACAAACUGAAAGAAAGAAAGAAAGAAAAACUUUUACAAACUCUGUUUGCUCUUGUUGUUGUAACUAUGUCAAGCCAGCAUUCAAGUUUUCAGCAAAGAUCAUAACUAACCACAUUUGCAAUAAUUCUCAGGUCUCAUAAUUACUCAUAUCAAUAGCAUAAUCAACUAGAAAGCCAUAAUAAUAAAUCUCGGAUGACAACACUUUCUCAAAACAACCAUAAUAUGAUAUAACAAGAUGGUAUCUCGCUAGCCCUUUCUGAGAUCGCAAAACAUAAAUGCAGAGCACCUUUAAAGAUCAAGGACUGACUAGACAUUGUAAUUCAUGGUAAAAGAGAUCCAAUCAUAGUCGUACCCAAUAUAAAUUAACAAUGAUGAAUGCAAAUGACAGUUGUGCUCUCCAGCUAGUACUUUUUAAUAAGAGGGUGAUGACUCAACAUAAAAGUAAAUGGAUAGGACCUUCGCAGAGGGAAGCAGGGAUUUGUAGAGGUGCCAGAGCUCGGUUUUGAAAUAGAGAUAAGUUGCAUUUUGAGCGGUAUACUUUCAUUGUCAACGUAGCAACUAAGAGAUGGCGAUAUCUUCCAUGCUAAACACAUUAUAGGUUGUUCCCAAACAGAAUGGUAAAGUUUAUACUCCCCCUCCACCAACAAGCAUCAACCCAUGACUUGCUCGAAACAACGAGUGUCUCCAACAUACAUCAGGUCCCAGGGGGAGUUUUGUUUGCAAUUAAUUUUGAUUUAGUUUGCAUAAAGCAUGGGACUGGGCAUCCCGGUGACCAGCCAUUUUCUCGUGAGUGAGGAGCGGAGUCCACUCCUCUUGACAAUAACCCGCCUAACACGGAAGAUAAGGGCAGCCUUGGUUGAUACAUGAGCUAUUCAAGCAUACAAAACAGAAUGUUUAUUUGAAGGUUUAGAGUUUGGCACAUACAAAUUUACUUGGAACGGCAGGUAGAUACCGCAUAUAGGAAGGUAUAGUGGACUCAUCUGGAAUAACUUUUUGGUUUAAGGGAUUGGAUGCACAAGCAGUAUUCCCGCUUAGUACAGGUGAAGGCAAGCAAAAGACUGGGAAGCGACCAACUAGAGAGCGACAACAGCCAUGUACAUGCAUUAAAAUUAAUAAACAUUGGAUGCAAGCAUGAGUAGGAUAUAAUUCACCAUGAACAUAAAUAUCAUGAAGGCUAUGUUGAUUUGUUUCAACUACAUGCGUGAACAUGUGCCAAGUCAAGUCACUUAAAUCAUUCAAAGGAGGAUACCACCCCAUCAUACCACAUCAUAAUCAUCUCAAUAGCAUGUUGGCACGCAAGGUAAACCAUUAUAACUCAUAGCUAAUCAAGCAUGGCACAAGCAACUAUGAUCUCUAAUUGUCAUUGCAAACAUGUUUAUUCAUAAUAAGCUGAAUCAAGAACGACGGGCUCAUCAUAUUUACAAAAACAAAAGAGGUCGAUUUCAUACCAUCUUUUCUCAUCUCAGUCAGUCCAUCAUAUAUGUCAUCAUAAUUGCCUUUCACUUGCACGACCGAACGGUGUGAAUAAUAAUAAGAGUGCACGUGCAUUGGACUAAGCUGGAAUCUGCGAGCAUUCAAUAAACAGGAGAAGACAAGGCAAUAUGGGCUCUGGGUUAAUUUAACAAUAAUGCAUAUAAGAGCCACUAUAACAAUUUAAUUAUGGUCUUCUCCUAUCGACCCCCAAAGAAAAGGAAAGAAAAUAAAACUAUUUACACGGGAAAGCUCCCAACAAGCAAAAGAAGGACAGGAAAUAUUUUUUGGGUUUUCUUUUUAAUUACUACUGCUACAACAGUAAAAUAAACUACUACUAAUUUUUUUUGUUUUUCUUAAGGUUUAACAACACACAAGAAGAAAGCAGGAAAAAGAAAAUAAACUAGCAUGGAUAUUACAGUGAAAAAGUAUGAGCAUCAACAUCUAGAAAUGAGUGUGUGUGAACAUAAAUGUAAUGUUGGUGAGAAAUACGUACUGUUGGUCUAUUGCCAGGGAUAGCCUGGCGGAUACCCGUAAGUGUAGCUGGGGUCGUACUGCGACGAAGAAUAACUGGGAUCAUACUGUGAUGCAGCGGCUAUCACCUGCUGAGCUGCAGCGUGGAGUCGGGCUGCCUCCGCUCUCCUCUCGUAUUCAUCUGCCUCCUCUCUGGUAAUAGUAUAUAUUCCUUUUGUCUGUGAAUCAAAAAGGGUAGGAGCAGGGAGAGUAAUACGGACAACAUGCCGUUUUUAAAAAAUUAAACGAUAUAAAAGAGGUGAUUCGGGCCUCUCGACAAAAUGAUGUGAAGCCAUGGAGUCAUAAUCUAAAUAUGCAGGGGGCAACUCCGUAUCACCCUCACGGAUGUCUAUCUCAAGAAAAUUGGCUAAGCGGGUUGCAUAAAUUCCUCCAAAGAAAUCUCCAUUAUGUCUAUUAUGAUGCAACCUACGAGCUACAAUGGCUCCCAUAUGAUAAGAUUGGUCUCCUAACACAACAUUCCUGAGAAUGCUGAGAUCAGGGACACACAUGUGACAUGCUUCAUCCUUAGCAUUUAUACAUCUACCUAUGAAGAAAGCAAGAUAAUGUAUAGCAGGAAAGUGAAUGCUCCCUAUGGUAGCUUGCGUUAUAUCUCUAGAUUCCCCCACAUUUAUACUAGCAAGAAAGCUUCUAAAUUCAGAUUUAGGGGGAUCCCUAAUACUGCCCCAAGAUGGAAGUUUGCAAGCAGAAGUGAAAUCCUCUAAGUCCAUGGUAUAAGAUUUGUCAUAAAGAUCAAACAUGACUAAAGGAGAAUUACGCGAAGAUGAAUACUCAAACCUCCUCACAAAUGUACUUGUGAGAUCAUGAUACUGGGGGCAUUUGUUAGCCUCAAAAUCCUCAAGACCGGCAUUGCGCAAAUAUGAUUUAAAUUCUUCUUUAAUUCCCGCGCGAUCCAUAAAAUUUUCCGACGGCCAUUCGCAAGGCCGCACUAGAGCGUCUCUUGGUGGAUCUUCAUCAGCAUCACACAUAGCAAUCCUGGGUCCUUGCUUCUUAGAAGAACCACCUUGGAACAUCUUCCUAAGCAUUAUUGUUUUUCUCUAAAAAAUUCUGAAAUUUUUAGUAACUUCAAACAAAAGUGAACCAACCUCAAUAAAACUGAUAGCAACUACUCCUACAAGUGCCUAGAGCCUAUAUCAAGCAUUAGAACUACUUGGAACCAUAUAAAUUUGACAUGCAAGCUCAAGAACAUGGUCACCUAUGCAGCACAAAUUUGCAAAGAAUAAAGCACUAGAACAAAAACUAAUUGGACCAAUGGAGGAGUCACAUACCAAGGAACAAUCUCCCCAAACAGUUUUGCGAGAGGUGCUUUGAGCAAGGAGAUCGAAAAUCACAGCAAAAGUGGCUGGAACUCGUGCUUGAGUUGGUUUUUCGGGUUUGUGUGAGACAGAGGAAGAAGAUGUGUGCUGGGAUAAGUGGAGGAGGGCCACUGUGGGCCCACGAGGCAGGGGGCGCGCCCUCCACCCUCGUGGCCAGGUGGCAGCUCUCCCCGCGGUAAUUUUUGCACAGUAAAUCCUCAAAUAUUCCCGAAAAAAUCAUAUUAAAUUGGCAUGUCAUUCUGAGGACUUUUAUUUUUCGGAUAUUUUUAUAUUGCACGGAUAAGCCAAGAAACAGACAAAGAAAUACUAUUUUUACUUUAUUUCUACUAAAUAACAGAAAGUAUAGAAGGGGUACAGAAGUUUGUGCUUCUAGUUUCAUCCAUCUCAUGCUCAUCAAAAAGAAUCCACUAACAAGGUUGAUCAAGUCUUGUUAACAAACUCAUUCCGAUAAUCAUGAAACCGGAGAAAUUUCAAAUAACACUAGGUUACCUCAACAGGGAUAUGCACAUCCCCAAUAAUAAGUAUAUCAUAUUUCUUUUUGACAGUAGGAAGAGGAAAUUCAAAACCUCCAAUUAUAAUCGAUGGAAUUUUUCUAGUGGAGUUGAUACUAUGAACUUGAGGUUGUUUCCUCGGAAAGUGUACCGUAUGCUCAUUACCAUUAACAUGAAAAGUGACAUUGCCUUUGUUGCAAUCAAUAACAGCCCCUGCAGUAUUAAGAAAAGGUCUUCCAAGAAUAAUAGACAUACUAUCAUCCUCGGGAAUAUCAAGAAUAACAAAGUCUGUUAAAAUAGUAACGUUUGCAACCACAAUAGGCACAUCCUCACAAAUACCGACAGGUAUAGCAGUUGAUUUAUCAGCCAUUUGCAAAGAUAUUUCAGUAGGUGUCAACUUAUUCAAGUCAAGUCUACGAUAUAAAGAGAGAGGCAUAACACUAACACCGGCUCUAAGAUCACAUAAAGCAGUUUUAAUAUAAUUUCUUUUAAUGGAGCAUGGUAUAGUAGGUACUCCGGGAUCUCCAAGUUUCUUUGGUAUUCCACCCUUAAAAGUAUAAUUAGCAAGCAUGGUGGAAAUUUCAGCUUCCGGUAUCUUUCUUUUAUUAGUAAUGAUAUCCUUCAUAUAUUUAGUAUAAGGAUUAGUUUUGAGCACAUCAGUCAAUCGCAUACGCAAAAAGAUAGGUCUAAUCAUUUCAGCAAAGCGCUCAAAAUCCUUGUCAUCCUUUUUCUUAGAUGCUUUGGGAGGAAAAGGCAUGGGUUUCUGAACCCAUGGUUCUCUUUCUUUACCAUGUUUCCUAGCAACAAAGUCUCUCUUAUCAUAACGUUGAUUCUUUGAUUGUGGGUUAUCAAGAUCAACAGCAGGUUCAACUUCUACAUCAUUAUCAUUACUAGGUUGAGCAUCAUCAUGAACAUCAUCAUUAACAUUUUCACUAGGUUCAUGUUGAUUACCAGAUUGUGUUUCAGCAUCAGACAUAGAUAUAUCAUUUGGAUUAUCAUGUGGUUCAGCAAUAGGUUCACUAGAAGUUUGCACAGUUCUAUGAUUUUUCUUUUUCUUCUUUUUAGAAGAACUAGGUGCAUCAAUAUUAUUUCUCUGAGAAUCUUGCUCGAUUCUCUUAGGGUGGCCUUCAGGAUACAAAGGUUCCUGAGUCAUUCUACCAGUUCUAGUAGACACUCUAACAGCAUAAUCAUUUUUCUUACUAUUCAUUUCAUCAAGCACUUCUUUUUGAGCUUUAAGUACUUGUUCCACUUGAGUGGUAACCAUAGAAGCAUGUUUGGUAACAAGUUUAAGUUCACCUCUAAUAUUAGCCAUAUAAUCACCCAAGUAUUUAAUCAUAUCGGAAUUUUGUUUUAAUUGUCUACCAAAAUAAGCAUUGAAAUUUUCUUGUUUGAUGAUGAAAUUAUCAAACUCAUCAAAACAUUGCCUAGCAGACUUAUAGUGAGGGAUAUCACCUUCAUCAAAUCUAUAGAGAGAAUUUACCUUUACUACCUGUGUCGGGAUAUCGGGAUCAGGAGGUUCUUCAAUAAAUAAAGGAUUGAGAUCAUAUACUUCUUCAACAGGUGGUAUAUUAAGACCAUGUAUUUCUUCAAUAGGAGGUAAAUUCUUAACAUCUUCAGCUUUAAUACCUUUUUCUUUCAUAGAUUUCUUUGUCUCUUGCAUAUCUUCAGGACUGAGAAACAGAACACCUCUCUUCUUCGGAGUUGGUUUAGGAAUAGGCUUAGUAAUUGGAGCAGGAGCUGGCUCAGGGGCUGGCUCAGGAGGUGCCCAAUUAUUUUCAUUUGUCAACAUAUUGUUCAAUAGAAUUUCAGCUUCAUCUGGUGUUCUUUCCCUGAAAAGAGAACCAGCACAACUAUCCAGGUAAUCUCUGGAAGCAUCGGUUAGUCCAUUAUAAAAGAUAUCAAGUAUUUCAGGUUUCUUAAGAGGAUGAUCAGGCAAAGCGUUAAGUAACUUGAGAAGCCUCCCCCAAGCUUGUGGGAGACUCUCUUCUUUAAUUUGCACAAAGUUGUAUAUUUCCCUCAAAUCAGCUUAUUUCUUAUGAGCAGGGAAAUAUUUAGCAGAAAAGUAAUAAAUCAUAUCCUGGGGACUACGCACACAACCAGGAUCAAGAGAAUUAAACCAUAUCUUAGCAUCACCCUUUAAUGAGAACGGAAAUAUCUUAAGUAUAUAAAAGUAGCGCGAUCUCUCAUCAUUAGUGAACAGGGCAGCUAUAUCAUUUAACUUAGUAAGAUGUGCCACAACAGUUUCAGAUUCAUAGCCAUAAAAAGGAUCAGAUUCAACCAAAGUAAUUAUAUCAGGAUCAGCAGAGAAUUCAUAAUCCUUAUCGGGAACACAUAUAGGUGAAGUAGCAAAAGUAGGGUCAGGUUUCAUUUUAUCUCUGAGUGAUUCUUUGUUCCAUUUAACUAAUAACCUCUUGAGCUCAUAUCUAUCUUUGCAAGCUAAAAUAGCGGCAGAAGAUUCCAUAUCAAAAAGAUAACCCUCAAGAAUAACAGGCAUAUUUUCAUCAUCACUUUCAUCAUCGUAUUCAGAUUCAAUAAUUUCUUUCUCUCUAGCCCUAGCAAUUUGUUCAUCAAGAAAUUCACUAAGGGGCACAGUAGUAUUAGGCAUAGAAGCAGUUUCAUCAUAAGUAUCAUGCAUAGCAGAAGUGGCAUCAUCAAUAACAUGCGACGUAUCGGAACGAAUAGCAGAAGCAGGUUUAGGUGUCGCAAGCUUACUCAUAACAGAAGGUGAAUCAAGUGCAAGGCUAGAUGGCAGUUCCUUACCUCCCCUCGUAGUUGAGGGAUAAAUUGUUGUCUUAGCAUCUUUCAAGUUCUUCAUAGUGUCCAGCAGAUAUAAAUCCCAAGUGACUCAAAGAAUAGAGCUAUGCUCCCCGGCAACGGCGCCAGAAAAAGGUCUUGAUAACCCACAAGUAUAGGGGAUUGCAACAGUUUUCGAGGGUAGAGUAUUCAACCCAAAUUUAUUGAUUCGACACAAGGGGAGCCAAAGAAUAUUCUCAAGUAUUAGCAGCUGAGUUGUCAAUUCAACCACACCUGGAAACUUAGUAUCUGGAGCAAAGUGUUUAGUAGCAAAGUAAUAUGAUAUUGGUGGCAACGGUAACAACAGAGUAGUGCAAGCAAUAGUAAAUAUUUUUUGGUAAUUUGUAGUGAUUGUAACAGUAGCAGCGGGAAAGUAAAUAAGCGAGAACCAGUAUAUGGAAAACUCGUAGGCAUCGGAUUAGUGAUGGAUAAUUAUGCCGGAUGCGGUUCAUCAUGUAACAGCCAUAACAUAGGGUGACACGGAACUAGCUCCAAUUCAUCAAUGUAAUGUAGGCAUGUAUUCCGUAUAUAGUCUUACGUGCUUAUGGAAAAGAACUUGCAUGACAUCUUUUGUCCUACCCUCCUGUGGCAGCGGGGUCCUAUUAGAAACUAAGGGAUAUUAGGGCCUCCUUUUAAUAGAGAACCGGAACAAAGCAUUAGCACAUAGUGAAUACAUGAACUCCUCAAACUAUGGUCAUCACCGGGAGUGGUCCCGAUUAUUGUCACUUCGGGGUUGCCGGAUCAUAACACAUAGUAGGUGACUAUAGACUUGCAAGAUAGGAUCAAGAACUCACAUAUAUUCAUGAAAACAUAAUAGGUUCAGAUCUGAAAUCAUGGCACUCGGGCCCUAGUGACAAGCAUUAAGCAUAGCAAAGUCAUAGAAACAUCAAUCUCAGAACAUAGUGGAUACUAGGGAUCAAACCCUAACAAAACUAACUCGAUUACAUGAUAAAUCUCAUCCAACCCAUCACCGUCCAGCAAGCCUACGAUGGAAUUACUCACGCACGGCGGUGAGCAUCAUGAAAUUGGUGAUGGAGGAUGGUUGAUGAUGACGACGGCGACGAAUACCCCUCUCUGGAGCCACGAACGGACUCCAGAUCAGCCCUCCCGAGAGGUUUUAGGGCUUGGCGGCGGCUCCGUAUCGUAAAAUGCGAUGAUUUCUUCUCUCUAAUUUUUUCUCUCCGAAAGCAGAUAUAUAGAGUUGGAAUUAGUGUCGGAGGGUUUCCAGGGGGGCCACGAGGUAGGGGGAGCGCCCCCCACCCUCGUGGACAGGGUGUGGGCCCCCUGGCCUUCAUCUUUGGCGAGGGUUUUUUUAUUAUUUUUUCUAAGAUGUUCCGUGGAGUUUCAGGUCAUUCCGAGAAUAUUUGUUUUCUGCACAUAACAACAUCAUGGCAAUUCUGCUGAAAACAGCGUCAGUCCGGGUUAGUUCCAUUCAAAUCACACAAGUUAGAGUCCAAAACAAGGGCAAAAGUGUUUGGAAAAGUAGAUACGACGGAGACGUAUCACCCUACAAGUUUGCAAUUGCUGCAAGUAAUAGAUGCCAUCCUAGAUGUAUCCCUUGGUGUUGGUUUCUCAAAUGGGUUUUUCCUCCUCUUUGUUUGUUGCUUCCCAACCUUGUCUCUGAAAACCGGAGGCUCUAUGUCUUGAGUUCUUGGCCACAUAUUUGGACCAGGGACGGGAAAUAUGAUAUGGCCAUAUGUUCUACAUUGCCUUCUUGAAGAAAUCACCCACAAAGUCUUCAAGUUGCAACUUAGCUUUCACAAUUGCAGAUACUGCAUGAUUGCAAGGCAUAGCAGUCAUAUCCCAUUUCUACAUCCACUUGUUUUGUGCAGCAAGUUCACUGAGUAGGUGUUAUCUCCACUACUAACUUGGUAAAUGUUAGGACCAGCCAUCAAAGUUUGGCACCAACUUGAGUUGUACUUGGCCUCCUCUAACAUCUCAGCAUAUGUUGCGCAAAUUUCCCAAUUUUAUGUCUCUGUCUUAGUUCUAUUGGUGUUAAAUUUGACCAUCAAUUUUGUGCUAAUUCCUUCUAUCAUGGUCUUUAUUGGCUUCCCUCCAACAUCUAGUAUCAUUUUGUUAAACACCUCACUGAUGUUGUUCACAACGAGGUUAGUCUUGCAGUUAAAAUCCAUUGCAUGUCUAACCCAAGUAUGAACUGGUACUUUAUUAAGCCAUGCCCAAGCUGCCUUACACUCUCUUUUCAAAUCAUUCAUUGCAGCAAGGUGUUCAUUCUUAGUAUAAGAGUAUCUAGCUGCAUCCAUGUGUUUCUUUAAUUCAUCACCUCUAAAGCUAGCAGUUUGGAAAUUCUGAUAUAUAUGUGUAAGGCGGAAUCUUUGUGGACAAUUGGGGAAAACAUGGUUUACUGCAUUUAAAAGGCCCUGUUGACACAAUAGGAACUAGAGUUAAACAUUGGGCCUUUUGAGUUGUUGACAGAGCAAUGUGCAUAUGAAACAAUAGAAGUACAAUAGAACUAUGAGAAGAGAAGUUUACCUUCUGCCUAUCAGAAAUGAUGGUAUAGUAGCCAAACUUUCCGCUUUCUCCACCAAGUAUAUCUCUCAACUGUGUUAAGAACCAGGUCCAGUUGCAUGUGCCCUCUUUGUCAACAACUCCAAAUGCUAUAGGAUAUAUAUUGUUGUCUCCGUCCUUUCCUGUUGUAGCAAGGAUCUGUUGACAUGUUGACAGCUUGAUAAAACAACCAUCUACCCCUGUAAAAUGGCAAAUGUGAGAAGAUAUUGUAUUUAAUGUGAGCACAUAAACACUUCACAAGUUACAAAACAUAGUGUACCAAUGAAUGGCUUGCAUCCAUUUAAAACCCCUUCUUUGCAAGCAUUAAGACAGAAGAACAUGCCAUGGGACCUUGGAUUUUUGCUUGGGUGCUCUGGCAGAUGCUUAGUGGUCACAACACAUGUACUGCCUCGGUUUGUAUGUAAUACAUACUGCAAAUAAUCUUUAAUCCUAGUGUAUUGUCCUCUCUGAUCUCCUUGGACAACCUUCAAUGCUUGCUUCCUAGCCCUAUAGGACAUAUGGGUUGAGAUCUCUACUCCAUAUUUCUUCUUCAAAUUUUGCACUAUUGUGGUGAUUUAGUGUGCUAGUAUCAGUUCUCGUCAUGGCCUCACACUGGUGUGCCACCCAUUUUCUUGCGACCUUGGUAUUCUCUGCUACUGUUGGGCAUGUGUGCAGAAAAGUAGCCUUUCUUAUGCAAAAAGUACUCUCAUUUGCGAUAACAGAAGCAAUGUCGAAAGAGCAUUUUACAUUAGUGCACACAACUAUGAUGUUGUCAUUGUAGUUUCAGUGGAACUCAUAGUUCAUGUUCUGACCUAUGUGAAAUGUCUGAAGCGCUCUUCUAAAUUGGUACACAUUGAGGAAACAAAGCUUUCUAUAAAACUGCUCCUAUGGGUUCUCUCUGUCAUCACUGUACCACUUCCUUGGCAAACAUUUAUAUGCUCUACUCUUCCUUCCAAUGGGAAGAACAAAAUGUUCUUCCUUAGCUCCAUCAUCAUAUUCCUUCUUCAACUCACCUACACCUAUCUCCUCAUCAGAUCAUGGUAUCCACACAUCCUCAAAUCUUUGCUCCAAGCUAGAAUGUGACCUCUUGGUUGGCCCUUUUCUAGAUUUGUUCUUAUUUGGUGGCUCAUGUUGUUGCUCCUCAUGCUCCACCUGAUCCUCUUGCUCAUGCUCAACCUGCUCCUAUUCCUCUUCCUCAACCUGCUCCUCUUCCUCAUCUUCCCCAUACACUUCAUCCACAUCAGUGUCUCCUUCAAAAUGAACGAGUGGGUCCUCUCUCUGCCUCCUCAUCUCAUUAAGCCUCUGAAGAAAGUCUUCAUAUGCAUCCGGAUCAUAAUCAUCUUCAGUUAAAAGAACUGGUAGUUUUUUCUUAACCAUUUGAACAUGAUUAGCUGCCUUCUUAUGUUUUCAAAAUUUGGCAAUCUUUGUUCUCCUCUUUAGCUCCAUUAGUGUCUCCAGCUCAUCGUGAUCCAUAGCAGCAUCUAAGUUUGUGCUCUGCUGUGUGGAGAAGAACUGCACUGGCUCUGACUGCUUUUGUUUAUUGGAUUUUUCUGGUGAUCUGAAGAGAACACCAGACGGAUUGACUUCAUACACAUGUUUCUCUCCUAAUUGACUCAAAGGAACCUGCUCCUCAUACACAUAGCCUGAAUUAAAAUAUGCAGGUCUUUGAUCAAUGCCCCUAAUCACUGUCAAGUUCACUACAUUCUGAUCCUUAUUAGCAAUAUGGUCAAGCAUCUCAUCAACCUUCUCAUCAUCACAAAUUUCUUCCAAUCCUGCAAUACCCACACCAAGAUCCCUCACAAAGUAAAUGUAAUCAGUAGAAUCAGCCAUAUCCCUCUAUCUCUAUUAGUGCUACCAAAUUGUAAUAUGUGAUGUCUGAAAUGCAGAUCAUCUCUCCAAGUUGUCUCUGUCACGGAAGUGCAUUCUAACUUCCCAAACAACAACAUCCGAACUAGACGGCAAGAUAAUACAACAAUUUUAAUUAAUACUACAUAAUUACUAUAAAAGAAGUUAACAUAUAGCUCUUCCCACAGGUUUGAGAACUGCUCGUUUUUCAAUCGACAUUUCAAAACAAUGUUGUCGAUGUGAUCAAAAUGAAAAUGAAAUGCCCUCUUUUUUCUGUGUGACUUUGCUAGAGCAACUUGGUUUGGCCAUCCUUGGUACAUUAAAACUGAUAUCUUAGCCUAGAAUCAUCUUUCUAUGCAAAGUAUUAUUCAUGGCUUGCUUAAUAUGCAACCAUGCCCACUAUUUUCAAUUUUAUGUGGUGCAUACAGAAAUUGAGAAAUGAUUAUCUUUUUGCCAGAAAAUGCUCUCUUCUCAUCAAGUUCAUCAUAUUUUUGCUGCUGCCUUGCUUGAUCCAAACAUUUCAUUGGUAAACUCUUCUAAUCUUGCUCAUGUUAAUGAUCAAAAUCACAUUCAACGGACCAAAAAUGUGAUGCCGCUUCAAGGUUGCACCCUUAGGAGUGAUUUAAUUGUCAUAAGAGCUAAAAUAUACUCUGACACCUCCUACAAAUGAUUAAAAAUUCCUGGUUUAGUGCAGGGUACACCAGCCACGGGCAUUGGGGGUUUUCUAAACUUUUUGCAGGGUCAAAAGGACGUUCAAGUGCAGAUUCAAGCCUCUGUUGUGAUCACACAAUCUCCUCUUCAAGCUGAAGCCCUUGCUCUUCUUCUUGCAGCCAAAAAGGCUCAUAUUUUGCAGGUGGAUCAACCAACCUUUCUCACUGACUGCCUAUCUUUCGCGAAGGCGGCUGUGACCAGAAGUAUUUCAGAUGAUUGUAUUCUGUGGACUAUCAUAACUACCCUUGCUAAUUUCUUCAGAACAACGAGCGAUCUUCAUGCGCGGGUCUACCACAUAUCUAGGGAGAUUAAUGAGAUUGCGCAUAAUGUUGCUCAUCAGAUUCUCACUUGUGCAUCGGAAGCUGUCUUUAGUUGCUUUGGUUCAGCUCAUAGGAACAUGUCAUGCCCUGUAAUCUCUCGUCUUUCUAACCUCAAUCUACAGGGUUUUGUACCACACGUCGUACACUGUCAUUGAGCUAAAUGAAAUUUUGGCGCUGUGGGCGCCUUUCCUUGUUAAAAAAAGAUAAGUCAGACUCAUUUUGUAAGCAUAACACACAACCAAAAGCCAAAACCAACGCCUAAAUCGUAUAAGCGCAAAGAAGACUUUGCAAGGAUAACGGUAGGACAUGCCAAGAUAAUUCUUCUUCUUCUUUCAUCAUCCUCAUCAUCAUCGUCGUCGUCAUCAUCGUUAUUUUCUGGUAUCAAGAUUUGGUGAGGAAUUUGUAUCAAUUAUAUGUGGUAUGGUAAGGAAUUAUCUCUGGCCUGAGAGAUGGUAGUCCAAGGUGUGGCAUUGCAAGAUUGGAAAGGGCUGAAUAGGGUUGCAAAGUCAAAAUGCGCCUCUCGCAGUGACAAUGCCACCACGGUUAUUUUCUCAUAAUAGAAAAGUGAAAACAUAACAUUAUAGACCAAUUUUUUCCUAUUUUGUGUUUUUACUAGUGGCUUUCUCCAGUUUUUUCUUUUCUCUAUAUUUCUUUUUAAAAUUCAUGAAUAUUUUUUAAAAAAUUCCAAGAACAUUUGUUCAAUUUUGUGAACAUUUUUUGAAAUCUGAGAACAUUUAUUAAAUUUUGUGAACAUUUUUUGAAAUUUGAGAAUAUUUUUUGGAGUCUGGAAGUUUUUGAAAUUCUCGAAGAUAUUUUGAAUUCACGAAUAUUUUUUGAAAUUCAUGGACAGUUUUUUUGAAUUGGUGAGCAUUUUUUGAAAUUUGUGAACAUUGCUUUUUAGAUCUGUGAAUUGUUUUUGAAUUGAUGAAAUUUUAUGAAACCUAGGGACAUAUUUUUGGACUUCACGAACAUAGUUUGAAUUCACUACUCCCUCCGAUCCAAAUUAAUUGACAAGCCUCUAUACAAUGCUAUAUAGAGGUUGUGUCAAAUAAUUAGGAUCGGAGCGAGUAUUUUUUUUUGAAAUUCACGAUCAUUUUUUUGAAUGGACAAACAUUUUUCGAAAUUCAUGACCUUUUUUGGAUUCAUGAUCAUUUUUUCGAAUUGACAAUCAAUUUUCGGAUCGGCACACAUAUUUUGAAAUCCAUGAUUUGUUUUUUGAAUUAGGACCAAUUUUGAAUCAGCGAAGUUUUUUUGGAUCAACAAAAACUUCUCAAAAUUUAUGAACCAUUUUGAAAUUAGGGACUCGUUUGAAUUCCUGAACAUUUUUAAAAAGAAAAAAAAGAAAACAGAAAUAACGAAAAACAAAAUGGGCGCCCGGCCCGCAAUGGGCCUGUGCAAACCGUGCGGGGACGUCCCGGGGCGCUGCUAUAACUCCUCACGUCGCUCAAACGUCCCUCAAGUUUUAGGUUUUAGGCUUUCGUUUUUAUUUAAUUUUAUAAUUUUACUAAAUAAUAUAUUUAUUAGAAAAAUAUUUUACUACUUCAAUAAAAAAUGACUUGCAUGUAAAAAUAUUUUUCAUGUAUUUGAAAGUAGUUAUUCAUCUUGUAUUUUAAAAAUGGUUCAUGCGUGUUGCAAAAAAUGUACAUCCUGUAUUUUAAAAAAUAUAAAAAUGUUCACAAACUAUUUAAAACAAAUCAUCAUGUAUUGAAAUUUGUUCAUCAUAUAUUUGAAAACUAUUAAAAAAUUGUCGCAUGUAGCUCAAAGUGUUCAUGCAAUUUUUAUAAAAAUACACAAUGAUAGUUUUUAGAUACACUUAACCAAUUUUUGGUACAUGACAAGAAAUUAUCGAAUAAUUGAUAACCAUUUUCUUAAUACACAACGGUUACUGGGAUACAUGUCGAUACUGGGGCAAGAAGGGCCGCUGGACCAACAUGUGCUUAUUGGGACUAUUUGUUCUUUGAUUGCAAUGCGGGCCUCGAAGAAUUAAUUUUUGUGCUUUCUAGUAUCGAUGUAUUUGUUAAGUCCGUUAAUCAUGCUUUUGUUAAGUAAUUUCCCAGUGGCGCUUUCUUACAUACCAGGGUUCGACUCCUAAAAAAUUUUAUGUAUGUAAUAAAAGCUACCAUGCCUAAAAAAAAGGUAAUAUAAGCUACUUUUUUUAAUGGAAAAGUAAUAAGGUACCUAGGCUUAUGUCAAGAUUAAAAAAAAAACUUGUAUGUAUGUAAACACGCCAUGCAGACGUUGCUGGUUUUUCUGAUAUAUAUGGUAAGCGCAUUUUUAUUGUGUUGAACAAUACGCGGAUGUUAUCAGUCAUGCUGAUCUGCAAAUUAUAAAGUUUUACGUUCUGCAGUGCAUAUGAGAUAAGAUUAAGCACAAAGAUUAAGCAGCUUGCAGGUGUUGAGUUUCCUGGAAUCCUCUGUUUAUAUGGAUGAGCAAUGAAGUACUCCUAGUAUUGUAAUGGGUCAUUACAAUGCUACUUUUUAGAUGAUCAUAUCAUGAAAAAUUCUCAUGAAUUACUUACAAAAAAUCCUAUCCUGCAGGUUUUUUUUGUCUGAAUCAAUCAUCAAUCCAUCAAAGAGGCCAAAAUGUUGUUCAGUGCCAACGUGCACACUCACAACGAAGCAUCAUCCAUUCCUGGGUGCACAUCUAACCUGCAGGUCACAAAUCCCUAGCUAGGGAGGGAAAACAAUGCAACAAAAUACUACUAGUGUUGCAUCAUUUCCAGACACCAUCCAUCCAUUUAAACAUACUCCACCGGUUCAUGUAUAACACAUUAUGUAUAUAUAGGAGGAUCGGAUCGGAUCGCAUCGCUAGGGUUCCCUUUCUUCUUUCUUUCUUUCUUUCUUCCCAUCCCACAAGAGAGAAAGGAAGAUCGAUCGACGACACAGACACACAAUUCUACUAAUAACACAGACAAGGAAGUUAGGAAGGAGGGAGCUUCUUCCUUCCUUCCCACAAGAAGGUAUAUAUUCAGUCAAGUCAACCCACCAACCAGACCAGACCAGACCAGGCAACAAAAGAAUAUCAUCUCUACUUUUUUUUUCUCUCUUUCUACAACCAUGACAGGCAAAGAGGGGAGGGGGGACGAGGCAACGGAGAUCAAUCGACGGGCGGCGCCACUCUUCAUCACCAAAAAAAGCUUCCAAUUCAGAUCAACAACAACAACACAAGUCUUCUUCUUCUUCUUGUCUUCUCUUCCUUGCAUUCAGACUCCUUCCAGCCAGUCCGUUUGCCCCUGAUACAUAAUAUCACAACAGCAAACAACCAGUCAGCUUCACUUCAGUUUCAUCAAUUACUAGUGUUUUGGGAUGCAAUGCACAGAUAUAUAAAUUAAUGUUGCAACCCAAUGUGCGCCAUCGUCAAUAUAUAAACAAACAACACAUGGCAAAGCGCUUCAUACUUGUUUUAGGGAGUUACAGGCCUACUACAUCUCAAAUUAUAACGACUCCAUCACAGCAGCAGGGAAAAUGAAUGCAAAUAUAGGAG
RNAcentral lists this long non-coding RNA (61432 nucleotides) under Triticum aestivum (bread wheat). Its description in RNAcentral is "long non-coding RNA (TAES_LNC013885)". Lineage: Eukaryota; Viridiplantae; Streptophyta; Magnoliopsida; Poales; Poaceae. The record is from RNAcentral.